This 45911-nucleotide long non-coding RNA is filed under the name Lactuca sativa (garden lettuce). Its description in RNAcentral is "long non-coding RNA (LSAT_LNC006316)". Lineage: Eukaryota; Viridiplantae; Streptophyta; Magnoliopsida; Asterales; Asteraceae. The record is from RNAcentral.
GGCGACUCUCUUUUAAUUAAAAAAAUCUUUGUCGAUGGAUUUUCCAUGUACAGUUAUGUAACAUAAAAAUCAAAAACAAUAUAUUUGAUUAACAAAUUAAUACAAACACAUACUCUUUAUGCUUGACUAUCUUUUUAAAUUUGCAACAAAGUAUAUGUAUAACUCUACAAAAGGUUGAAGUUAUAUAUAUGUGGACAUCAUUCCUUACGUCACAUAGAUGACGUAUUGACUAACAAUUCAAUAAUUGCCCUCUAUAAUUCUAUAUAAUCAUGUGGCUGCGCCGCUCUUGUAACUUGUAAGUGCACUCCAGUGCUCCACACUUUAUCUCUAACUUCACCCGCCGGAGUGGCAGCUCGUUGGCCAGAAGAAGGAUGCGGUGUUCGGGGAAGACGGUGGCAAGGGAAGCAAAAGAUCCGGUUCCACCGCGAGGCUCCAUCAUCAAAGAAAUUGUUAAUGACAUACUCACCAGUUGUAGUGGCGGCAAAAACAACAAAGCCCAGGUGUUAGUGCUUUAGCUUUUGCAGAAUCUGAUCCUUAAUUUAUGGAUUCCUCACAUGUACAUACUAUGCAAUAAUUCUUAUGUGAUAAUUACUGAUGUAACCAGAUCUGCUUGGUGAGGAAUUUGUCUGAACUUUGAUGUUGAUCUAGUUCUUAUUAUUCAAACUGAGCUUCAGUUUCUUGUAUUUGAAAGAAAAUCCCGACCCCUUAUAUCAUCAAGUUUAUUUUUGGAAGAAACAUCGAACAAUAUUCAUCAAAUUUAUUAGCUUUUGUUUCUUAACAUUAGAUUUUAUUUUUGUGUCGUUAUAAUCUAUCAACACACUAAAUGUGUUAAUAUUUUCUGUGUAGUUUUACAUGAAUAAAGAUGGAACAUAAUGCAAGUUUCUGCUUUUCUGACCAUAUUCCGUUCAAAGUAUUGUUAUAAAUUAUGAUGACCAUCAACUUUUUUUAACACCCAAUAAAGUAAAAAACGUCUUUUUGGCAUAUUUCUUAGUUACUCUAAUAUAUAUAUAUAUANNNNNNNNNNNNNNNNNNNNNNNNNNNNNNNNNNNNNNNNNNNNNNNNNNNNNNNNNNNNNNNNNNNNNNNNNNNNNNNNNNNNNNNNNNNNNNNNNNNNNNNNNNNNNNNNNNNNNNNNNNNNNNNNNNNNNNNNNNNNNNNNNNNNNNNNNNNNNNNNNNNNNNNNNNNNNNNNNNNNNNNNNNNNNNNNNNAUAAUAUUUUAAUAUAAUAAUUAUAAUAAAUAUAUUAAUAAAUUAAAACUUAUUAGUUUAUUUUGUUUAUUUAUUUAAAUUAUUUGUUUAAAUUUAAAUGAUAAAAAACAUUUAAAUUUUAAUAAUUCAUUAUUUUUUUUAGUUUUUUUUUUUUAUAAAUUUAAAGCUCUCAAAUAUUUAGACUUUUAUAUUUAAUUUUUUUAAUUAACCUAUAUAAUAUAUGAGUCUCAUAACUAAUAUAAAAAUAAAAAAGGGUUUUCAUUUUGAAUAUUAGCUAAAUAUAAAAUAUUAUUGAAUUUUAUUCUAUUAUUUAUAAAUUAAGUUUAGUUGAUAUUUUAUAUUUGCUUGAUUUCAAAUAUUCGAUUUAAUUGGAUCCCGAUGGACAUCACACAUUUAUUUCAAGAACAUUCAAUGCUUAACUCAUUCUUUAAUUAGAAAACGAUUGAAUUGAUACAUAGGUCAUACUUCAAAAAAAAAUCCAUUUAUAAAUGAAAUUUUAAAUGAAUUUAAUCCAUAUAUAACGAUUUACAAAAAUUAUUUAUACAACAUAAAAUCAUAUACACAACGAGUUAUUAACAUACCUAGAUAGUAUGAAACGGUUUAUAUAAAAUUAUUUAAACAACAUAAAUCACGACUUGAAUUUCUAGAUCAAAUUCAAAUUUUGCGCAAACUAAACAUUGAUUACGACGAACACUAGUUUUCUCAUUUCUAAUAACUAUGGUGUAAUCUUUAAUUUUAUAAACAACGUUUGUCGACAUGUUUUCCACUAUGUAUGAUGCAACAAAUCAUGUAGUUACCGUUAUCACUCACAUAUGAUGCCUAUUAAACUAACAGGGUAUAUAAUACAUACUAAUUUGCAACUUUGAGGUAACUACAUAUCAAUAUACACCACACAAUAAUUGUAACAUUCAUAGCGUUGAAUUAUCUGAUAAUAAUUAAAGCUAUGUUUGUACAAUUUGAUAAGUAGCUCAUACAAUGAUCGAGUUCUACACUUGUACAAUAACAAGUUCUACACUUGUAGUUGUUAUUUUUGUCUUUGCUUAACAAAAAUAGUUAUUAUGUGUUUAGAUAACUUAUCGUAUUGACACUACUAUAUAAAAGUUUUGUAUGCAUAUCAAUUGUUUGAUAAAAUGACUUAUUAAGACAAAAUGUGAUUUUUAGUUUGUUUGUUUUUGGAGUUUUGGAACAUUUUACAAAGAAAUAAAGUCUAACUUUUGGAAGGAACGUUAGAUUUUUGUGAAAAUGAUCCAAAAUGGCAACUAAUAACAUAAAUUUUACCCAUUAGGUCAAUGAAGUCUUAAUUUCACCAAAUAAGAAAAAAGACUUUUAAUUUUGGUUUUAAAGUACCAUUGUCACUGAUUUUAACCGGUUACACCCACUUUUAAUGAUAGGGCCAUAUAUGUUUCAAGAAAACCCCAGAGACCUGAGCCAUAAUUUUGUGCUCAUAAUCAAAUCAAGUACACACCAAAUAUAGUUAUGAGCUUAGACACCUAAUCCAACAGUCUCACACUUGAAUAAGUCUAAUAACUAUUAUUGCAAGUAUGAAUUCAGAAUCUGACUAGCAAUCAUAGCUUUCAAAAGCCGUUGUUGAACUCUGAUCUUAUCAAUAACGUGUCCUUUAGAUAAGUGAUCAAAUAUUCCUCUGUUCUACAAGAUAUCGUAUGGACAUGAGAAUCAUUCUCUCUGCCUAAUAUUUGUUUUCCGACUUCUGAUUUAUGACGACUGACUCAUACUAUAAUUGAACACAUCAACUUAGUCCAGCUUGGCCAAAUGCUUAGGGUGUUAACACUAAAUCGUCUAGGGGCCCACAAAUAUCGUUUUUAUCCCAUCUAGGGUAAAAUGAACGGAUAAACUUCGACUCAUAUGCUUGUACUAUUUACUCGUCAAAUCACACACAACAAUCCGUUUUAUAACAUCAAGUUACUGAUGCGUUUACGUAUUAUCAAUGCACAAACGACUUGUAAACAACAACUAUAUGUCUCCGUUUCAAGAGUAUAAGAUAUUAUCGUCUCACAUUCACUCGUGAUAAAAUCCAUGAAGUGAUUCAAAUGAGUGUGGGUUUAAUGCAAUACUUAAAUUCCUAUUUCAGGAGUACUCAUGAACACUGCAUCAAACAUUUGCUAUGUAUAAGCACGUAGACAAUCUACAGUCGGAUUCAUGAUAGUUUUACCUCAUUACUUACUUCCAAAGUGUGAUCGACUGUAGAUGUUUGAAUAACCUAGUUAUUCGAGAAGUAAAACAUGCAAAGUGAAACACAAGAGUAAUCUAACCCAAUAUGGUCUAAAUUUUUUUGAAUAUAGAUAAAACACUUAUUAUUUAAUCACCAUAUUAAUUAAACCUUAUUGAUUGUUUACUGUUUCGAGUAAUCAAGUCAAUACUUGAAUUAAAACAAUAGUCAUCCCGUGCUCCAAGCAUGCACACUAUGUUUAUCUAUGGUCCUUCCUUUGUGAAAUUUAUUGAACACAUUACUAAUGAUGCUCAUUUCAUAAUUCCCUAAUCCUUAUAAGUGUAAAAAUACAAAAUUCUUUCCACUAAUAAAAUGUGUUAGAGUCUAACCUUUCAUGCAAUGAUCUUCCUUUUGUAAUGUCGAGGCUCCAAAGUCACAGAGACUUAACCAAUGAUAUUACAAAACGUUCCAUUGGAGAUUGGUACAAGACAAUUCCCGAAAACGAAGUCUCACAUUCAAGGUACAUUCCUUGAACAUCCUUCUUGCACAAAAGUUUCUAACUUACACAUAGAUUCUUAACAUCCAACUCCCAUUAUGAAAAUAUUUCCAUAAUUUCCAUAUGACUAUCCAUUCUCAAUAGAAUCCUAUCUAUUCAGAAUUAUAUCAACAUGGUCCAUCUAUUACUAUACUUCAAAUUGUUUACAAGCAACCAAUCUUUAGCAAACAUUAGAUUGUCCUUGACAGUUGUUUAACAACUUUAGUCAUAUCCGGUUCUGGUCCCUUUUCCCUUUUAAUGCGCUAGGCAUUUAGAAAAAUCAGAACAUGCAAAUAUUAUAGCAUAUGCAAUCGAUCCUAUACUCAAAGCAUAUGGGAUACGAUUCAUAAUAAAGACAUGAUACUAGACCAGUCUCUUGCUAUAAUAUUUCCAUAUAUAGAAUUUCCUAUGUUGAAACAUUUCAACAUGAAAUUCAUAUAUUCUCAUGACUAAGUUCCAUUAAAAUUUCAAUAUAAGCUAUUAGAUUCGGAAUCAAGUAUUAGUGCUCUCUCCCUUAAGUCUUACUAUGGCGAAAUAAUUUCCAAAUUCUACAACUUUGCAAAUUUAGAACUUUCUUUCCUAUAAUCAGCAUGCUAAUCUUGCAUCACUUAACAUAAUAAUCACGCUCCCACUAGCAUAGCAAUUAUGUUAUUAUCAGCAUAACAAUUAUGUUCCCACUAGCUUUGACAUGUACUUAAAAAUCUGGUGGACUUCUAGAAAUCAAUACCUAUUGACUUUCUUACCAAAGUUCAAAUUUCUGAUACGUGGUGCUUCGAUAAGUCUUUAUCUAGACUUCUCAAGCUCAUACACCUUUCAUUAGACAGCUUAUGUGUGCGUCUAAUCCUUUUUCAGAACUUAUAGCAAUAAGUCUCGAAUGUUCAAACUAAUUGCCAUUUCUCACAAUUCGAACUAUGAAUAGGGAUGUCGUAAUCAUACUCAAAUUUGAGAAUGCAAUUAUCACAACUGCUAACUUUAAUCCUUUAAAAUCUACAAGUGAAAGCGUUUCCUCACAAUCAUUCUCAUGAAGUAGAGAGAAAUCUAUUGCCACUUAGAUUUUAUGAUGUAUCUGUUCCUAUCCAUGUGAACUUGUCAUUUUGAACCACUAUCAUAAGAUAAAGCUUCUGACAAAUUAAACUCAUAUGGACUGAACCUGUUUAUUCUUAAUUUCUUGCCAUCCGACAGCACAUAAGGGCCUACCAGUUCUUCCAGGUUAUUGAGCAGCUCACCUACACUGAUCAAGAUGCUUUGCCUUAUGAGAACUCAUAAAACUCACAUGCAUAGUUAAUUUAACUGGAAUAGGCACUAAACUAAGAAUAUGUCAACAUGAUAAGUUGUUAACCUCAGGUCGUGUGCUAGUGAUAACUAGAAGGUUUAUUCUUGUUUAGUUCUUGAAACUAUUCAAGACCAUAAAGACUCCCACUGACCUCUUGACAUAUAAGAUUCUCUGUCAAAGAACAUUUCUCAACAAGCAAAUAUUCAGGAGUUAGUGUGGGUUCUUACCAAUAAACACUUCAUAUAAUUGGUCUUAGUUGGUCUUUGUUUUAGCCAAAAACAUCACAACUACCAAUUUCAAAUGUGAAAGAGUAAGAAACAUUUCUACUCCAUAUUUCAUGAGGUGUUGUAAACCUAUUUAGAACAUGUUACUCAAGGUAGUUUCUAGAGUAUGACUCUAAAAUUUGAUCUUGGAACAAAGUGUGACUCAUCUUCUUGAUUUAACCAUUUCAACAAUUUAUGAUACCCCUUCUUAGUCAUGUAAAUGCACUAAGGUGUCCUUAGAGGAUCAAUUAUGACAUGGUUCCAUAAUCAUUAGGAUGAUCAUGAAACAUGAUACUAAAGUACUCUCAUUUCCUUUCAUAUUGGAGAAACUUUUAUCUUUCUACCUAAUUGAUUCUUUUUACUUGUUCUGCUAUACUUUGAAACUUUUCAAGGUAUUAGAAUUAUACUUAAUUUUGUAAGUGUAAUCAUAUUUACUGAACCAUUAGUAAAUCAUGACGAAUAGCCAUUAUUAUCCUUUGUGGUUAUCUGACCAGUCCAUAUCAAUGUGUACUAGAUCCUUCAGUCUUUCACUUGACUCACAUAUACAUGUGAACAAGGAAUUAGUCUCAAUUUCCUAAAGAUCAAGAUUCUCAUACAUCACAUAAUUCAACGUUCCAGGUUCUGUCCAAUUGAAACUUGGGUGAAGAGAAUCCUUCCUCACUUGGUAAAUUAAGAAACUACCACGAAGGAUAUAACUAAGAAUCAAAUCCAUUUUCAAUAUUGCUAACAAUAGAAAUAUAAACACCAACUUUCACACAUGCCAUUGCAAGGAAACAUAAAAUAAGAUAAAAUCAAAAAUUUAUUUAUUGAUAAAGUGCAAAAAAAACUUGUCCUUACAACGAAAAUAUAAAUGAAAACUGUGUUUCUAGAUAUUCCUAAGUAACCUAUUAUAACUCCUAAGCAACAGCUCAAAAAUCCGAUCAUCAAAACACAUGAUUAAAAUCCAUUUCUCACGAUCAAAUUCAGCUUGCUUCUUCUUUAAGCUUCCUUCCUUUUCUUCGAUCCUACAAAACAUCAAAAUGUAAUCUUAUCACAUCAUGUAUUAAGAAUCUAUAAAUAGGAACUCAAUAGUGGAUAUACCUGAAGUAGAGUCAUAUGAUUUGGCUUUACUAUCCUUGCGAUCUUUCAGGUAGAUAUGGAAGCUUCGCAUCCAAUGCCUCUUCUCUUGGAAAUAGAAACAUAUGGACUAGCUUCACAUCCAAUUCCCCUUCUCUUGGCAAUAGAAACAUAUGGACUCUUUGGGAAUGACACAUGGGACUAUGUCAGAAUUUUCCUUUCUCUUAUGAUCAAACUUUUCGACCAUGGCCGAUUUCUCUCCCUUGGGAGGAGAAGCCAUUUCCAGACUAUCACCUUUGCCAUCACCAAUGCUCAUGGAAAUUUGAGAGGUAGAUCUUCCAGACAAAUCUGCUUGACAGGUGCACCAAAGCAUUGCUGCUUCAAAAAUAAUUAGCAAAUAAGUCAGAUCAAUAAGGGUCACGUUGUGAUCUUUCAUAUAGUAGUCUUUAACAAACUGACCAUAUGACCCGGGAAGUGACUCAAGAACCUAGUCAACUUCCAGCUCCUUUGGGAAAACGACACCCAACAUUCCCAGUCUUUCAAGGUGUGACUUCAUGUUUAGAAUAUGUGCGUAUAUAGAGUUUCCAUCUUCAUGCUUGCAUGCUAAUAGGGCUUGAGUAACCUUGAACUUUUCAAGUUGACGAAAUGUGGGCCAAGGACAAUCACUAGAGGAGGUGGAGGAAGAGAAGUAUGAUUUCCAGUUCCACCUUUUCACGAAGUAGGGAUCGAUCUUUCACCUUGAUCGCCAUGUGGAAUAUCAUCUUCAAAAAGAAAGCCUUUUCCAAAGGAUUGAGGAAGGCUAUAGUUGUCAGAACUAGAUAUCUACAAAGGGAGAAAAUUCAAGUUAGUUGAUUUAAGUCCUUAACAUAACAUCCAAAUGAAAUAUUAAGGCUAGGACCUAACACAAUAAUUCACAAUUCGGAUGAGGGAUUCCAUAAUCCAAUUGCAAAUUAUUUGAAGGUAGGUAAAUGACGAUUUACCAAUUCCAUCACGAAAAUGAAAUUUUAAACGAAUUAGGUUUUAAAUGAAAUUCUUAGAUCUUUACGAUUCAUUGAACUUUUCAAUGGCAUGUUUAAUCUAGAUUAUGCCCUUCAAGUUUGUGACUGGGAUACCGAGGAUCACAAACAAGGUGUGAAUAACCAUGCAAAUUAGCUUGGUACACUCGAUGUCAUUUAUCACCUAAUCAAUGUGCCGGUUAACCACACACGAUCCAUUGAUCAACGAUAAUUUAAGAGAAACCCAUUGCCAUCCUUCAUUAGUCCCUAUUAGUGUGCCGAUUAACCACACACGCUCCAUUAACUGACCAAUAAGGUUCAAUGUGCAACUUCAUGGGUUAACAUCAACUUCACAUUUUCCUAGAGUAACUAAGACUUGGGAAUUUAUAAAAGCAUUUAGUUAAUUUAUAAUUCAUUAUACUUUUAAUGAGAAUUUAGUGUCCUAUCCUACCCGUUUGGCUAACGACCCUCCACUAGUCAGGGGUGCAGUGGAUAAGAUUGGAUACCCAAUGGCGGUCAUUUUACAAGCCGCUUCCUUAAACACCCCUUACAAACCAGCUUCAUGAAUGAGACCUACUAACGGUAAGACUGACCUUUUCUUAUACAUAUAUAUAAAUUAAACCUUUAAUAUUAUAAUAGUAUAAGGGUGUAUGUUAAACUUUCAAAAUACUAGGGUUUUAGAAUUCAAUAUCUCAAAAUUAAAACUUUUAAUCAAGUUUUAAAUUCCAAAACUUGAGGGCAAUUUUGAAAGUUUUCAAAACCUCUAGAUCAAAUUUAAAACAAUUAAAUUAAUCAUAUGAUUUUAUCUUUAUCAUAAAUUUGACAUUUUCUUUUAUUUGGGAAGAAAAUUCAAAUCAAAAUUUACAAAUAAUUAAUUUAUCACAAAAUUUCAUAAUUAUCUUAAAAUUUGACAAUUAUCUUUCAGUUAGAUGAGUAUAUUCUUUACCAUAUCAGAAAAUUCAAAUGUAAUAAGUAAAAACAACUUUUGGUAAUUAUCUGAAUCUAAUCUAGGCCAAAAAAUCGAAAAAUCUGUCAAUAGAUGAGUCGCCACGUCGUGUCAUGCCAUAACACGUCGUGUACAACUAUAAACACAUCGUGUUCAUCAGGCAGAGUCCAAAAACGAUUUUCUUCCAGCUUUGCACAAAUCACAAAUGCAUCAAAUAUAACAGAAAAACACCCUAGGCUCUGAUAUCACUGAUGAGUUUUGAGCAUUACAACAUUCCUAUGGUGCACAUGCAACCUUAAUGCUUUCGAUCUAGAUUUUUUUAAAGUUAUACAUGCAAAUAAAUUAUCUUAAGAAAAACCCUAGAUAUAGCAUACAUAAUUUCGAUAUUCAUAUAUAUAAAAGGGUUGGAAGAUUACCUCACUUGUUAUAUUGUAAUAACAUGAACAAUCCUUGACUCUUGAAAGCAUAGUGCCCCAAGUGUUGCACCUCUAAUGGAGUCACAAACACCAAAUCCAAAGAAUGACUUGGAGAGAUGAUGAAAUCGGCCAGGUUCUUUUACAAUCAUGUAGGGGCCGAAAUCCUUAGGGUUCAAGGGGUUUUAUAUGGCUAGGUUGCUUAGUCUUGAAGUUGGACUUGAAUAAGGAAACCCUAGUUCAUAACUUAAGCCCAAAGCAACCCAUGGACUUCCAUAAGAUGCCUUGGACCAAAUCUUAUAAGCCCAAGCUAUAAAUUUCGUCCACUACCAUCAAGAAGCCCCUAGGCCUAGUUUCAUAACUAUCAAUGAUUUGCAAAACAACCCCUUCAUUAUUAAUUAGUUCCUUUAAUCCUAAAAUUAAUACCAAAUUAAUUUUUGAUUAAUUACUAAUUAAUAAUAUGGUUUCCAGAUAAUAUAUUAAUCUUAUAAUAUAUUAAUAAAAUUAUUUUGAGUACCAAUUUAUUAUUCAUAUAAUAAAUCCUACUCUCUCUCUCUCUCUCUCUCUCUCUCUCUCUCUCUCUCUUUCUCUCUCGACUGGUCAUCCCGUCAAGUUUCAUGAGUGAAGGCAACCCAAAAGGACCAUGCUCAUAAUCAGAUCAAGUACACACCAAAUAUAGUUAUGGGCUUAGACACCUAAUCCAAUGGGUCUUAGAAUAGAUCGAGAUGUCAUCAAUAAACACAAUCACAGAACCUCGGCUUGCAUACGCGGUUAAUGAGGUCCAUGAACGCGGUUGGGGAAUUGGUAAGCCCGAAGGGCAUCACCACGAACUCGUAAUGACCAUAAAGAGUCCAAAAGGCCGUCUUCUGUACAUCCUCCUCCGUGAAACUCAUCUGAUGAUAAACCGAAUGCAAAUCAAUCUUGGAAAACCAAGAUGCACCCUAAAGCUGGUCAAACAAAUCAUCAAUCAUCGGGAGUGGGUAAUGGUUCUUUACUGUUAGCUUAUUCAGCUCCCGAUAAUCAAUACACAUCCGAUGAGAUCCAUCCUUCUUCUUCAUAAAUAGGAUCGGUGCGCCCCAUUGCGAACUGCUCGGAUGAAUGAACCCCUUGUCUAACAAAUCCUACAGCUGUGUAGACAACUCUUACCUCUCUGGAGGAGCUAACUGGUACAAUGCCUUGGCUAUCGGAGCCGCACCCGGAACCAAGUCAAUCCUGAACUUCACCCGCCUCUCAGGAGGCACCCUAGGUAAACCCUCUAGAAACACAUCUGGGUACUCCCGCACAACCAACACAUCAUCCGCAGUCGCCUUACCUUUAUCAUGGGUAUCCAUAACAUAGGCGACAUAUCUAGAACAACCAUGAUGAAGAUAUCGUCUGGCCCUAGCUGUUGAACAUAGAAUCGGCCCAUGUUGAGCUCUCUCUCCCUAAACUACUAACUCUCCCCCACUUGGGGUCCGAAUACGUACUAACUGAUGUUCACAAUUGAUCAACGCCCCAUUGGGGCUCAACCAGUCCAUCCCUACAUUAACUUUACUCCAGUACAGAGGAAUAGGGACCAAGUCGAUUGGAAACUGCUCACUGAACAUCUCUAGACUAUAAUCUCGAUGAUCCCUCAAUGUUUGAACUGAUUGAUCAUCUGCAAUAUCAACCUAUAAUGGAAAAUCUAGCUCCCCUGGAGCUCCAAUAAACCGCUUGAUGAGCGCAAGAGAUACAAAAGAUUGGGUAGCCUCGAAUCAAACAAUUCCAAGGCAGAAAUACUGUUCAUAAGGAACGAUCCUAAAAUAAAACACACAAAUGCAAUUCAAUAUAAAUAAAGAGAUAAAAAAAGAUACAUACAUGUUACCACAUCAGGUGUUGUGCGAGCCUCCUCGAAUGUCAGCUGAAAAUCCCAGCUCUUCACCAUAGGUGCAUCCUCCUUGCCUUGGCGGCCACCAAUAUUACGAAGAGUUGCUAGAGCGGGUGCUACCAUCGGUCCUGAUGCUGCCAAAUUCAAACAAUAGGCCUUCUUGUGUCCCCUUUGAUUGCAAUGGAAGCAAAUAACUUAAGAAACUAGGUUCGUGGUGGUAGUAGUAGUACAAUCCCUGCUAAUAUGACCCAUUCGACCGCGCUUGAAACAACCAUAACCACCCACCCUACACGCCCAUUGUACGUCUUGUCGCACUUGCCACAACGGCUCCGACCCUACUGGCUUCUUGAUAUCGAAUCUAAUACCUUGGGCUUCUUGCCAAACCCCUUGAAACUUGAGCCUGAUCCGACUUCCUCUUCCUCUCCAUCUCCAAAUCAAUCUUACACACUCUAACUAGCCCUCACAAUUAUAUCCUCUAGUGUCUUGAAAUUGUACCGACUCACAAAUUGUCGAAUAUCAGUCCUCAGAAUCUCAUGGUAUCUCGCCUUCUUCAACUCCUUCUCCGCCACAUAUUGUUGAACCAACAACACCCUCUCACGGAACAUCGCAGUGAUCUCAACCGUCAUCUCAAUAGUAUGGCGAAUGUCCUGGAACUCCCUCACCAACUGCUGCACCUCAAUUAAUGGCACUAACUCAGCUUAGAAUCUAUUCACAAAAUCAUCCCAUGUAAUCGAAUCAACCGCCUCAUCAAUCAAGGAGCGCCCAACCUCCUCCCACGAGUCUCAAGCUCUGUCUUUCACAAGACAUGAAGCAAGUCUGACAUUUGCCCCUUUGGGACAACUACUGGUGCAGAAUGUGUUAGCGACAUCCGCUAACCAUAUCCUACUCGUGAUCAGGUCCUUCUCCCCGAAGUACUUUGGAUACAUGUAGGCCUAUACUCUCUAAAAGUCAACGAAUGUGCCCCAAUCAAAGCCACCAUCUUAGAACAGAAAGAGCCCAAGCGCUCCUCUAACACCUACAUGACACCCUCAUUGAUCGUACCACAGAUUACAGGAGUCUGCUCAAGUAUGCUGCGGGUAAUCUCAGACGAAAUGAACUCCCACGUCUGAUGUGACAUCCCCAAAAUCUCGGCCAGAAAAGACCGAUUUUCAUUUAUGCUUUUAAAUAUUUUCAGAGUAAAUCCUUUUGAUUUGAAAGAGUUGCGGAAUUUGUUCCCAAAAACAAAACAUGAUAAAACAUUGUUUACCGAAGCAUUUCAUAAAAGAAAUGUAUUUUCAUUAUAAUCAAAACUCGGGGUGUCAUGUUCCGAUACAGACCAAUAAGCAUAAACGAAUACAUUACAAGUCAUUAAACAAAUAUAAACAUAUGCAGACUUGUAAACAAAACAACUUGAUGGUUCAUCCAUCUCAUGCCCUUCCGCCACUACCUGUAAUACAAUUUAAAACUGAGUGGGUCAGGCUUGGGAGCCUGGUGAGCAUAUAGGGUUUUCAACCCACAAUAAAUAUCAUAUUUAAUUUUCACCAACCAACAAUAACCCAAUUACCCAUUCCCGUUAUUCUCACUUUAAUGUCCCUAAAACAACUAACAUAAGGGACCUAGUCUAAGAAUAUUUCAUCGGGGCGACAACACAUGCUUCGGGGGUACCUCAGCAAUAUAAGUCAAAUAAGGCAACCAUGAGGGGGAUGGAGUACAGCGAAUGAACACCCAAGUUCAUUAACACCUACAGGUGGCGAACCUGCUAAUGUUUCCACAAGACUGUCUAGAAUAGCCAGUGGUCGUCAUCUAAACUCCGCUAGAUGACUCAAUCAAACAACAACGAGGCCUCUCAUCUGUUUAUUACACACCAACUGUCUACCCAUGUUCUACCCAACAUAUUAGUAGAUAAAAAUAUACAUUUGUAUACAUAGUUUAAAGAAAACCUGUAUAGCAUGCUUUAAUCAACACAUAUAUCACAUAACAGAUGAGGCACACACACACAUAACACAUAUCUCAUAAAGAAAUAAGCAGAUCUAUAAGAUAGAAGAGAGUGAAUACUCAUUCACACAUAACACAACCAAAUAUAUACACAUAGCACGUAUUUUUAUAUAAAAUACUUCGUAUUAUUGUAUUAGAAGAAAUAACUACACACUCACUUGAUCAGAAGAUGAUCGGACAGCACUACGGCUUAUAGAAGUAGUAAUCCACAGCAGAUCUGGAAGAUCUCCUCGAAAAUCGAACUUCUCGCGGGCAGAGCUUCGACUCGGGAACCGCACUUCUCGGGAUCUUCGGGAUCUCGGGACUUGCCUCGGGGCUAGAGUAUGAUACCGGGGCUUCGGGAUAGCUUCGGCACGAAAAACGAUGCAAAAGACUAGAGAGAAGAGAAGAAAAUGAACAAGACAUAAGGCUGUCUUCGGAUUCCUUAUAUAGAGGCUGGAGCCUCGGAGUACGCGGGGCGUACAGGCGUACGCAGCGCGUACGCGUCCGAAAUCGUCACUGCAUGCGUCAUCCGAAGUGUCGACACUAUGCUGAGUACGCGGUAGCGUAACCUCGUACGCGGGGCGUACUCCGGAUCACACCGGUGACUCGGCUUCGGAUAAUGCUUCCGAUUUUGAAUUAAAAAUAAAUAUAAAAUGAUUAAUAAACUUCGGAAAUUCAUAACUUCUUCAUACGAACUCCGUUUUCGACGUUCUUUAUAUCCACGCGAAGGUGAGACCACGCUCUACGACUUUCGUUUAGACUCCGUCGGCUAAUUUUGACUUUAUUUUUAUUAAUUAUUUUUAAUAGGCCGGGACAGAAACUUUCGUUAUAAAUUCAUAACUUCUUCGUUUGACGUCCGUUCUCGCCUAACUUUUUAUCGUUUCAAUACCAACAAUGAGAUCUUCGAUUCUCAUUUAGAUUGCUUCGGCUAACAACCGCUCGAUCUCAAAUCGAGUAAAACAGGCUGUAUAUCGCUAAGCCGGAACUUCGAUAAAUCAUAACUUCCUCAUACGAAGUCAGAUUUGGGCGUUCUAUAUAUAUUCGGAAACCUCGUUUCAAAUACUACAACACUAACCAAAGAUAUUAAGUUUAUUUUACACUUAAAUUUUGACGCUUAUUUUAUUCUUAAUUAAUCAAACCACAUAAUUAAGCAAUUAAGCACAAAACACAUAAUACUCAAAUAAUACAAUCUUUAUUAUUUCAAAACGGGUUACAGAGGUUAACUUAGACUAUUACAUUGCUACAAAUGGCAAGCCCGAAACACAGGCGUUACAUCUGAUCAUCCAACUGCCUGGUUCCAAAAUGUAACGCCCGCAGAUUCGGGCUAGUCAAUUUAGAGACAGUAAGCGUCGAAUCUGAAUUUUUGAUGGAAGAUUAUUUACAAUAAAUAAUCUUUUCUAAGAUAUAGUAUAUGUCACAAGGGUUCCAUACAUAUAAAGAACGUUGAAAUCUGAGUUAUAAUGAAGAACUUAUGACCCGUUGAAGUUUUACGACAAAACCGACACGACACCGGAAAUCGUAAAAAGUGAGUUUGCGAUAUAAUAGUUUUUAGAUUUAGCAAUCUAAUAAAAUGUCAUAGUAGACGUUAAACGGAGAACGUGCAUAAAAAGAACAUCCAAAUCUGACUUUGUAUGAGGAAGUUUUGAUUUUUCUAAGAUUUAGCCUAGUAGUGUACAACUCGGAAAUCGGAUUUUAGAUCGAUCGAUUUUUUGCCGACACAACCUAAAUGAGAAUUUAAUAUAUCAUUAAUAGGAUGUCAAUGAUAAAAAGAUAGUCGAAAACGGAGUCGGUAUGUAGAAGUUAUGAAUUUUAUACGGUCGUUAAACAGUGUAAUCUUCUCCACUAUUAAAUUUAAAAUCGGUCGAGACUUAGCCAAUGGAGUCAAAAGAAGAGUUGUAGAUAUUGUCAAUACCUACACAUGGACAUAAAGAACGUAAAAAACAGAGCUCAUAUGAGAAAGUUACGAAUUUUAGAAGAUAAUUAGUUUUUGGAGUAAUCUGCGAGUGACAUAUGGCACAAUCCUGACCAUUGCUUACUCCCCAUGCCAUGCCACCAGAUGGUGACAUGUGGCACACCAACACGAGGAGUUAGAGGCCCAGAACUUGCCGAGUUGAGCCAAUUUCCAGUCUACAAAUAGCAUGCAAGGUUCUCACAUUUUCUUCACAUCUCAACCCUUUUUUUUUCUCUCUCUCUAACUUCUCUCUAAACCCAUCCCAACCCUUAGUACUUUCCAAAUGCUAAGAGGUGAGUCCCGGAGUACCAGAAUGCUCCGAUAAGAAGAGAUUUCGGCUUGGAAGUUCUGCCACUACUGAGCUCGGUUCCUAGCCAAACCUCCUAGUAAGUGAGUUAUGCUUCCCCUACUUUAAGUAUAACUUAUGUUUAAGUUCAAUAUCAUUAUUAUGAACUUAUAAAAAAUAUAUAUAUUAUAAAAUAUAAUAUACAAAAUGUAUUAUAAUAUCUUUUAACUACUCGCGGUACGGGGAAUCUGGUUUGAAGGGCCGCAUAGGGUUGUUGGAUUUCAGAAGUGUUAUAAUGCAACAUGUGUUGGGUUUUGAGUACUAUAACACUCCUAUGGUGCACAUUCAACCCUAGAUGCUUUGGAUCUAAGUUUUCUCUAAUUAUACAUGAAAUUCCUAAUUUCCAAAGCAUACAUCCUAACUAGCAUGCAAUUGAAGAUAUACAACAUAAAACCAAGUUAGAUGAAUACCUCUUGAUGUAGCUCGUAGUUCUUGGCCUUUAAAAGCUUUAGAACCUCAAAUGUGAUGCCUCUAAUGUGUCACAAACACCAAAUGCAAAAGGAGGCUUAUGAGAACUGGCUAGAUAGCACCAAUAUCGGUUAUGAUUCUUCACAAGAAUACAUUGGCCGAUUUUACGGGUUAAGGGGAUGCUUUUAUAGUGUGGCAAAGACUAGGGUUACAUCCAUGCAAACCGUAACUCACCAUGACCCUUCAUAUUUCUUAGGCCCUUUGGGUUUAAACCUUCAUGGACUAUCAUAUAGGUUUAGCCUAUCCUAAUCAACCAUGGAUCACUAACCCAAACUAUAAGUAUUACUGAUUUACUUAAUGAGUCCCUGUAAAUUUAAUUAGUCUCUUUUGAUCACUAAAUUAAUUCAAAAUGUCAAUUACAUUUUAGCUAUUACAACUCCUUUUAUUCAAUCAUCAAAUGUCAAUUACAUUUUAGCUAUUACAAGUUUCUAAAUAUUUAUCUAAUCACUAAAAGUAAUAUCGUCCUUCAGCAUGAUACUCUUAGCAUGCUGCAAGUGCUUAACCCUACUUAGUCCUUUCGUAUGGGGAUCUGCUAGGUUAUCCUCUGACGAUACCCUCUUUACUACGAGGAGUCCUUCUUCUACUCGAUGUCUUAUGAAGUGGUAUUUUCUGUCGAUAUGCUUGGAUCUUCCAUGAUGUCUCGGUUCCUUGGGUAAGGCGACUACUCCUUCAUAAUUGCAUAAAAUAUCUAAAGGCUCCUUUAUGGAUAGUACAACUCCAAGGUCUCUGAUAAAGUUUUUCAAUCAUAUCGCCUCCUUCGAUGCUUCACUCGCUGGUAUGUACUCUGAUUCGCACGUUGAAUCAGCUACAAUCUCCUUCUUGGAACUUUUCCAUGUUACUUGUCACAUCCCUAUUUUCACGGCCAGAAAAGACCGAAUAUGCUUAUGCUUUGUUUGAAAAUCAGAGUAACAUGUUAAAUAAAAGUGUUGCGGAAUUUGUUCCCAAAAUAAAAUAUGAUAAGGAUUUAUCAAAGCAUUUCCAAAGAAAUGUUUUUCAUUAAAAACCCCGGGAUGUCACGUUCGUUACAUAUCAAAAGCAUAAAUAGUACAAUAUAAGCCUUACUACAUUUAUUCAUAUCUACAGGCCUAUAUCCGUAAACUCUCAUCCCGAACAUCAUAUCUAUGCUCGUACGCCAGUACCUGUAAUACAAGAAACUAAGUGGGUCAGACUUGGGAGCCUGGUGUGCACAUCGGGUUUUCAACCCACAAUAAAUAAGUUUAUUAACUUCAUCAAACCAAUCAAACUCGAUUACUCGUUCCCGUUAUCCUCACUUUACGUCCCUAAAACAUCUAACAUAAGGGACCUAGUUUAAGGACUUUCAUUGGGGUGACAACACUACUUCGGGGAUUCCUCAGCAAUUUAUGUGAAAUAAGGAAACCAUGUGGGCGAUGGAGUACUGCUGGUGAGCACACAGUUCAAAUAAACAUCUACAGGUUGCGAGUCUGCUAGCAUUCCACUGGACUGUCUAGAAUAGUCCGUGGUCGUCGUCUGUACUCCACUAGAUGACUAGAUCAUCAAUGACAUCGAGGCCUCUCGUUAUUUUAUUUUAUCACACAACAACUAUUACAUCUACCCAUGUUUUACCCAACAUAUUUUGUAGAUAUAAAAUACAUAUACAGUUUAAAUCAUUUAAAACAUGUAUAACAUCAUUCAUCCAGCGUAGAUAGCAAGUAUACAGAUAAUAUGCACACAUAACAAGUAAUUUAUAUAAAAUACUUCAUAUUUAUGUGUAAGAUUAAAGUAACUAUGCACUCACUUGUUAAGGUGGCGAUUCUGAACUCAGACGGUGCUUCGUUACUCUUAAAAGAAUUUCCUUCGAUAAAACCUAAUAUCAUUAUCACUAGGGUUUAGUCUAAUAUUCACCGAGACUAAUUAAUAGUCUUGCUAUUUUUACUAUUAUAUAAGCGUUAAACAAUACUCUUCACCCACUAUGUACAGAAAGGGGUCAGACAUAAAACACCGGAGGGCAGGACUAUUUUGGCGUAUAGCACUUCUGAAAUCCAACAACCCUAUGCGGCCCUUUAAACCAGAUUCCCCGUACCGUGAGUGGUUAAAAAGAUAUUAUAUUGAUACUUAUAUAACCCAUAAUAAUAGCCUAAAUAAUUAUUAUAAAGUCCUAAUAACGUUACUAUAAUUAAUUAAAAGCUAUAUUAAAAAUAGCGUAGGCAUAGCUCACUUAUAACGAGUUUUCUUGAAAACCGGGCUUCGCUUGGAGCAGCGUUUCCGAACCGAAAGGCUUUUUUUCUCGAGGCUUCCUUUGGGUGCUAGGGGUUUUACCUAGACUUUAGGGGGCUUAAGGAGUUAGAGAGAGAACCUAAAGAGAGAAAGAAAAGGUUGAAAUGGUGUGGAAAUGAAGGCUGCCUCGGCCUCCUUUUAUAGCCGCAAGGCCUCGGAGUACACUAGGCGUACUUUGGAACUACACUGGGCGUAAGGGUUCGGUCGUACAACAUGUGUCGCGAAAGGGUUGGGUCAUCGUGGGCACUUCUGGACCUUGGAAAUCGAGUUCGCUGGGCGUACAGAGCUUCGUACACGAGGCGUAUCCGUACGCUGGGUGUCCGAUGCGAACGUUGGGCAUCCGAGGUGCGACGUGUCACCCAUCCGAAGCGAAGUGUGGGCAACAAGGGACGACUGGGAUCGCGCCACGUCAUCAAUCUCGCAACAUCUUCGCAAAUCGCAUACUCGAAUUCUAAAAUUCAUAACUUUUGCAUACGAGCUCCGUUUUCGACGUUCUUUAAAUCCAGACGCAGGCGGGACCAUACUCUACAACUUUUGUUUAGAUUUCGUCGGCUAAUUUUGACUUUAUUUUAAAAGUUAUAUUUUUAACAGGCCGGGACAAGAUUGGUCCGUUAAAAAUUCAGAACUCCUUCAUCCGACGUCCGUUAUUGUCUGUCUUUUUAUCGUUAUGCUACUAUUAACGAGAUCUUCAAUUCUCGUUUAGGUUGUGUUGGCUAAAUACCGCUUGAUCUAAUAUUCGAACUUCGGGCUGUACACUGCUAAGCCGAAACUUCGAAAAAUCAUAACUUCCUCAUACGAAGUCAGAUUCGGGCGUUCUUUUCAUGGACGCUCUCGGUUUAAUGUAUUCUACAAAUUCCGUUUAGAUCGCUACGGCUAAAAGAUGCUCUAUCAUAAAUUCACUAUUUAGAUCUCCCGGUGCCGUGUCGAUUCUGUCGCGAAACUUCGACAUGUCAUAACUCAUUCGUUAUAACUCGGAUUUCGGCGUUCCUUAUAUGUCCGAAAUCCUUGUCACGGCUACUACCACUUCAUGUAUUGAUAUCGGGUUUAUUCAAAACUUUAAUUUUGACGCUUAUUUUUAUUAUAUCUUUAUAAACAAAUAAAUAAACACAUAAUUCACAUAAUACUCAAAUAUCUCAUCUUUAUUACUUCGAAAAGAGUUACAAUAGUUAACCUAGCCUAUCACAUCAUCUAUUAAUGCUUAGCCCCGAAACAUGGGCGUUACAUUAUUGCUCCUCCAUCUAGGGUAAACACCCAGCCCGACUGAGAGCGCAGAUCAUCUCUUCCGGUCUGAAAACCGGUGUCACAAUAUCCUGUCACUCUCAAGUCUUCUCUCCCACCUAGGGUAAGUACCCAGUCCUUAGCCCUCUGCAAGUACUUAAGAAUGUUCUUUACUACAGUCCAGUGAGCUCUACCGGGGUUCCCUUGAUAUUGACUGUCCAUGCUCAAGGAAAAAGCCACAUCAGGGCGAGUACACGUCAUAGCGUACAUGAUUGAUCCAACAAUGGAGGCAUAUGGUACUUGACUUAUAUCCGCUAUCUUUUCAUCAGUUCUCCGACUCUGAGCCUUGCUCAGUUUGGUAUUGCUGUGGAUCAGUAAGUCACCUUUCUUGGAAUUCUCCAUGUUAAAACGUUUCAACACCUUAUCCAAACUCUUUGGAUUUCUCAUCAAAACAAAGAUUCCAUCUGUGAAAUGUUUGUUUCAAUCCAUAGAUGGAUUUCUCAAGCUUACACAUUCUAUUAGGGUACUUUGCAUUGACAAAACCAUCUGGAUGACACAUGUAAACAUCUUCAGCACCCUUUCCAUCAAGGAAAGCGGUUUUGACUACCAUUUUCCAUAUUUCAUAAUCAUGAAAUGCAGCUAUGGCUAACAUAACCCUUAUAGAUGUAAUCUUCGCUACUGAUGGAAAGGUCCCAUCAUAGUCUACUCCAUGAGUUUGAGUAAAGUAUUUCGCAACCAUUCGCGCCUUAUAUGUUUGUACUUUCCCAUCCAUGUCGGUCUUCUUCUUGAAGAUCCAUUUGCACCCGACCGUCUUACAACCUGGUAUGUUAUCAUCCAAGUUCCAAACUUGAUUGUGAUACAUGGACUGAAUCUCGCUGUCCAUCGCCUCUUUCCAUUUUGCAGACUCGGGGCCUGCCAUGGCUUCCUUAGGUUCAUCUAAAUUUAUCAAUGUACUAUCACUGAUAAACAUAUCAUCCUCAGUUUUUAUAUGAAAACCAUAUAACACAGGUGGAACACUAACUCUACCGGAACAUCUCAUAGGUACAAACUCGUCAAUCGGUUCAAAACGAGUUUCCUCCUCGGGUUGAACGCUAGUUAUUGAGGUUCCUUCAUCACUUAACUCUUGAAGCUCUUCAAAGUCAAUUUGCCUCCCACUGUCCUCUUGGAAUAUGAGUUCCCUCUCUUGCGGAAAACCCCUCUCCUGACAACGAAGACAACAUUGUCACUCAGUGUGUAGAAGAGAUACCCAAAGGACUUCUUUGGGUAGCCGAUGAAAACACGUCGCUCACUACGAGGUUCGAGAUUGUCAUGAGUCUCUCGUCUUACGAAAGCCUCGCAACCCUAAACUUUAAUAUGUGUAAACAAGGGAACCUUCCCUGUCCACAUAUUGUGAGGUGUUUUGGCAACCUUCUUAGUUGGUACUAGAUUAAGCAUAUGGGCGGCAGUCUCUAAGGCAUACCCCCAGAAUGAGAUAGGUAAAGAAGCUCGACUCAAAAUGUAACGAACCAUGUCCAACAAGGUUGGAUUGUGCCUCUCAGCCACACCAUUCAACUGCGGUGUCCUAGGUGGCGUCAACUGUGAAACAAUUGCACAUUCCUUAAGAUAGUCAUGGAACUCGAUACUAAGAUACUCACCACCUCGAUCGGAUCGAAGCAUCUUUAUCUUCCUGCCCAAUUGAUUCUCUAUUUCUUGCUUAAACUCUUUGAACUUUUGAAAGGCUUUUGGCUUAUGCUUGAUUAAGUAGAUGUAUUCAUAUUUGCUGUAAUCAUCAGUAAAAGUCACAUAGAAGCAAAUAGCAUCCCUUGUGGCAGAUCUGAAGGGUCCACACACAUCGGUGUGUACAAGAUCCAGCAGACCUUCAACCCUUUCACAAGUACCAGUGAAGGGUGACUUGGUCAUCUUUCCAAGCGAACAAGAUUUGCAAGUGUCAUCCGACUUCAAGUUGAAUGAAUCCAAAACUCCAUCCUUUUGGAGUUGGGCUAUGCGCUUCUUGUUGAGAUGCCCAAGAUGACAAUGCCACAAGCGUGCCUUGUCCAAAACAUUGGACGAAUCAAUAUUCAACACAUUAUUUCCUAAGUUAUCUACAACCAUCACAGUUUUAUAUAUACCAUCACAAGGCAAUGCUUUAAAAUAAGAUACACCAUUAUAGAAAGCAUUAAUAAAACCAAUUUCAUUAUCAAAUGAGAAUCUAAAACCUUGUUUAUACAAACCAUAAAAAGAAAUAAUAUUUCUUGCCAUAUCCGACGAGUAACAACAAUUAUUCAACUCUAAAUUUAACUCAAUACUAAGCAAUAAAGAUUAAACUCUAGUGUUGGUGACAGACGACACUUUCCUAUUCCCCAUGAUUAAGUUUAUCUUCCCGUGCUCCACAUCCCUACUUCCUUUUAGUCCCUGCAAAUCAUGAACAAAUGUGAAAUCCACAACCUGGAUCAAGGACCCAAGAAUUAGCAUGUGAUUAGUUAUUAGAUAGAAUAGUGUAAAUACCUUCAAAGGUGUGGUUUAUUUUCCCAUCCUUAAUGUCUUGCAAGUAUUUGGAGCAACUUCGUUUCCAGUUCUUUUAUUCAUGACAAUGGAAACACUCUGCUUUCUUUGGAUUGGUAGAGGGUUUAGCGGGACCAACUUUGAUUCCACUAGAAGAGGAUCCAUCAUGGGACUUUCCCUUAUGGCUCUUAGAAGGAGCCUUCCCCUUCUUUCCCUUUCCAUGUCCAAUUGCCAAAACAGGGGCAACAACAGUAGGAACGGGUACAACAACCUUGCCUUUCAAAUUACUUUAUGCAGUUCUUAGUAGCCCUUGAAGCUUGCUCAAAGUGACUUCCUCCUUAUUUAUAUGAUAAGUCAUACGAAACUAAUCCUAAAAGGGAGGCAAAGAAUGUAGGAUAAUAUUAUUGGCCAAAUAUGUGUCGAAUUUCACAUUCAUCUUCAAAAAGCGGUCCACAAACCUUUGCAUCUUUUACAAGUGGGUCGUGAUGGACUCUACAUCCUUCAUUUUGGUUGUAGUCAUGGAGGCAAUGAUCUCAUACCUUUCCUGCCAAACACUUUGAUGGUACCUUUCCAUCAAAUAUUGGUGCAUCUCGAAGGGCCAGAAGUCCUCAUAGGACUUUUGAAGCUCAACAGUCAAGGUAGCAAUCAUAAUGGAUGACACCUUUGUCGCGUCCCUCUCAUGAACCCCGUAUUCUUCAAUUUACUCGGGAGUAGCAGUUUGUUCAUCAAUCUCUUUCAACUCUUUAUUGAGGACAUAGUCUUUGUCCUUGUAGCGAAGGUCCAUACAAAUGUUUCGAAUCCAAUCGUUAAAGUUUGACCCAUCAAAGAUAGUUCUCCCAACCAAGUUCAUGAAGGAUAAUGAGCUAGAAGGGUUGGAGCCUGAAGCAUUGUUUGGGAUAGACAUCUGAAAAGAAUAAAGAACAAGUUUAGAUUAGAUAAGAAUCCUUAAUAUAACACCCAAAUGAAAUAUUAAGGCUAGGACCCAACACAAUAUUUCUCAAUUCAGAAGAGGGAUGCUGGAAUCCAAUUGCAAAAUAUUUGAAGGUAGGUAAAUGACGAUUUACCAAUUUCCACCAUGAAAAACAAAAUUGAUUAUUAAGUUUUUAAAUGAAUUGAAAUUCCUAGAUUAUUUGAGAUUCAUUGAACUUUUCAAUGGUAUGUCUUAGUCUCUAUUAUGCCCUUCAAGUUUGUAACUUGGAUAUCGAGGAUCACAAAUAAGGUGUGAAUAACCAUGUAAAUUGCUUGGUACUCUUGAUGUCACUAAUCACCUAAUCAAUACGCCGGUUCACUACACACACUCCACCGAUCUAUGAAAAGCAUCAUGCUACCCUUUGCCACCCUUGUUAGUCCCAAAUUAGUGUGCCGGUUAACCACACACGCUCCACUAAUGACUUGGAAAGGUGCAAAGUGCAAUUUCAUGGAAUAGCACCAUUUUCACAUUUUUCCUAAAGUAACUAAGAUUGGGAAUUUAUAAAAGUUUAGUUACUUUAUAAUUUCAUUAUACUUAUUAAUGAGGAUUUAUGUCCUAUCCUACCCGUUCAGCUAACGACCCUCCACCAGUCAAGUAAGCGGUGAGUGAGAGUGGACACCCAUUAAACCACCAUUUUAUAGGCAGUAUCCUUAUACCCCCUUCUUAUAGACCAGCUUCAUGAAUGAGGCCACCUAACAUUAAGACUGACUUGUCUUAUACAUACAUACAUACAUAUAUAUAUNUAUAAGUAUUAACUUUUAGUAUUAUAAUAGUAUAAGGGUUGAAUUGUAAACUUAUAAAAUUCUAAGGUUUGGAAUUAAAUGUUUCAUAAGUGAGACUUUACAAAUUUCAAAACUUUAGGGCAAGUUUUGUAACUCUUCAAAACUUUUGGUUUCCAUAACUUAUGAGUUUUAAUGUUCAUGAAUGAGACUUUUCAUAUUUCAUAACUUGAGGACAGAUUAUGAAACUCUCUUCAAGAACAAUUUAGAUCAAUUAUAACUUAAUCAAUUAUCAUAUAAUUUGUUAUUCAUCAAGUUGAUCUAAUCUAUAAUACAAAUAAUCAACUUAUUAUUUUAAAAUUUGACAAUUGUCCUUUAAUUGGAUAAAGAUAAUUGCUACCAUAUCAGAAAAAACAUUUUUAAUGAUACAAAAUAGUUUGUGGUAAUGAUCCUAAUUCAAUUAUGGCAAAAUACUCAAGAAAACUGUCAUCUGAUGAUCCAUCUCGUCGAAUCUGGCAAUGGACUCGUCGAGUUCCUCAUCUAAUUAUCCAACUCGUCGAGUCUAAUCAUAGGACUCGUCGAGUCCAGCAGUCGGAGUCCAAUAUUUCAAUUUUUCAGCUUUGAAAUAACACAAUAGCAUCAAUAUAAUAGAAAACAAACCUGGCUUUGAUACCACUAUCGGGUUUUGAGCACUAUAACACUCCUAUGGUGCAUAUGCAACCCUAGAUGCGUUAGAUAUAAGUUUUCUCUAAUUAUACAUGCAAUUUCAAAUUUCCAAAGCAUAAAUCCUAACUAGCAUGCAAUUGAAUACAUACAACAUAAAAACAAGUUAGAUGAAUACCUCUUGAUGUAGCUAGUAGUUCUUGGCUAUUAAAAGCUUUAGCACCUCAAAUGUGAAGCCUCUAAUGUGUCACAAACACCAAAUGCACACCAAAAUCAGUUAUGAUUCUUCACGAGGAUGCAUUGGCCGAUUUUAAGGGUUAAGGGGAUGCUUUUAUAGUGUGGCAAAGACUAGGGUUACAUCCAUGCAAACCCUAACUCACCAUGACCCUUCAUAUUUCUUAGGCAUUUUAGGUUUAAACCUUCAUGGACUAUCAUAUAAGUUUAGCUCAUCCUAAUCAACCAUGGAUCAUUUGCCUAAACUAUAAGUAUUAGUGAUUUACUUAAUCAGUCCCCAUAAAUUUAAUUAGUCUCUUUUGAUCACUAAAUUAAAUCCAAAUCAAUUCUUGAUCAAUAUUAAUUAAAUAUGAUUUCUCAAUUAAUAUAUUAUACUUAUAAUAUAUUAAUAAAUUACAAAUAACCUCAUCCUCAAAAGUCGAUCCUAUCAAAUUGCUCUAAUGAAGGCAACCCAAAAGGACCAUGCUACUAUUGGGUCAAGUACAUACCAAUUAUAGUUAUGGGCUUAGACACCUAAUCCAACAAAUUGGUCCAACCCUCCGGUGUUUCAUGUCUGACCCAUGUCUAUUUAUAUAGUGGUUGAAAAGUAUUGUUUAACACUUAUAAAACAAUAUCGCUCAUAAAUAUUUGCUAUAUAUAUUAGACUAAAAUCUAGUAAUAAUGAUACUAGGUUUCAUCGAAGGAAAAGACGAUUGUUAGAAGCAAAGAUUUGUCCGAGUUUCAAGCCAUCACUUUAACAAGUGAGUGCAUAGUUACUUUCAUCUGAUAUACAGAUACAAAGUAUUUAAUAUAAAUUAUGUCUUAUGUGUGCAUAUUAUUUGUGUUCUUGAUAUCGAUGAUGGAUGAACAAAAUAUACAUGCUUUAUUUGAUUUAACUGUAUAUGUAUUUAUACCUAUAAAAAUAUUGGGUAAAGUGGGCUAGAUGAAUGAUGAGAGAUGAAAGUUGAUAUAGAUGAACCUUGGUGGCGAUGGACUUAGAAAUAUAAAUUGGCAGCUAUGGACUUAGUGCCUUACAAAUGAAUGUUGGUAGAUAUGGAUUUAGUGCCUUAUAUAUAGAUAUUGGCAGCUAUGGACUUAGUGCCGAACAAAUAACCUCGUCAGCUAUGGGCUUAGUGCCUAAUAGAUAAACCCUGGCAGCUAUGGACUUAGUGCCUGAUAGAUAAACCCUUGGCAGCUAUGGACUUAGUACGAAAUAGAUAAACCCCGAAAGCUAUGGACUUAGUGCCUUACAAACGAACGUUGGCAACUAUGGAUUAGUGCCCUAUAAAUGGAUAUUGGAAGCUAUGGACUUAAUGCCAAACAAAUAACCUCGACAACUAUGGACUUAGUGUUUGUUAUAUAAACCCUGGCAGUGAUGGACUUCAUGCCUAUUCCUUAGGACAAUCCUUAGGAACAAAUGAGUGAAUGAUAUAUGAUUCUUGGGGUUGAUCCUUAAGAAAUAGAGAAGAUAAUGGGGAUGGGUAAUUGGGUUAGUUAUUUGGUGAUGAAACAUAAUAACUUAACUAUUGUGGGUUCAAAACCCUAUGUAUUCACCAGGUUUCCCAACCUAACCCACUCUGAUUAUUUGUAUCAUAGGUGUCAAUACGAACCUACAUUACACUAAGAGAUUAAAGGAGAUGUAGAUCACUAGUGUAAAUGAAUGUAUGAUCUAUUUAUGCUUAUGUUUUUGUAUUGACAAUGACAUCCCAAAGUUUUAAUAUUAAGAAAAUAAAUUUCUUUCGGAAAUGCUUUGAUAAUAUAUUUAUCAUGUUUUCUAGGAACAAAUUCCGUAAUAUUAUUCUUUAAAAUGAAUACUCUGAUUUUCAAAUAAGCAUAAAUAAAGUUUUUAAAAUGACCAUGAAUUUGGGGAUGUUACAGUUGGUAUCAGAGCAUUAGUUUAAGCGAACUAGGAAUUAGGAUUUGUUUCUAGACUUAAACAUAAAAUGCUAACUAAUGAUCGUGGGGAGUGUGUACAAUAUAUUUUAGGUAGUACACCUGAAUAGACACAAACACUGGCUUAAUUAGGGAAGAUGCCUAAAAUUCUUUUAUGUGCUAAAUGAUUUGUGAUGCUUUAUGAUGCCAUUAUUUGAUCGGAUCUAUGGUCUCUAUCUAUAUUCACAUCUCGAUACACUGAACAACUGCUUUGGUGUACAAAAUGUCAUGAUAAGGACUGACUCGUAGCGAACAGAGCAAAUGGAGGAAAUGAGAAGGCUUACGUUGGUGAAUGAUACCUAACAGAAGAUAUCGUAAGAGUGGUAUCUUGCCUUUAGAAUACGUCUAAUAAAAUAAUAUUACGUAUAGAGGAGUUCAAUACAUCCAAAUGUACAUAUUUGAUUGGCGAAAUGAUAAAACAAUUGGCGUAAUUCCUAAAGUUGUCCUAUCAUAUGGCGUUUCCACCACCAACCGAGUUGAAGAAGAAUUGAUGAUUGAAGAUACGCAUGGAAGGAGCCCUACUAGAGUCUCGGGAAAAUUUUGUGAUCGCUUGGACACAUUGUUAUGUGUUAAAAUGGUUUUUGUGAUAAUAACUUGGAGAACUGUGAGAAAAUACUUGGGACGAGUAUGAGUAGGUGUGAAACGUAGUAGAGGCCUAUACCACCAAAAGCAUAGGAUUCACACUUGUAUCACGGAAAAUCACAAGGUUACCAAGAAUGUAGUAAUUCAGUCCGUUUUGUUCAAGUAUGUCGUUACCAUCGUUUCGAUAAUGACUAAGAAGAUGAUUUUUAUUCCGACCCUAAUGGUCAUAUCAAAUCGAUUCCGAAUAAGAUAAGUAUGUUACCUGGAUCAGAGAACCAAGUUUGCUAUAGAAUUUGACUUAAGCCAGAAGAUUGAACUGAAAGAUAAUCGAAGCGGUCAACAUAAGUAUCGAGAUCACCAUUAAAGUAAGUAAGCUUGUAUCUAGAACGACUAAAUGCUAGAACUUGAUUAUAUCACAUAAGAACAUGAAGGAAGGUAUAUUCCAUUCUGUAAUUUGACUCUAAGAGACCUGAGUCUAACCAUGGAAUCAUAUGAUGAGAGGCCAUUAGAACAUGACCCACCGGCCUAUCAUGAUAAUCGAAGUAAAGAACUUCUCUUAAGUUAAGUAUGUUAAGAAGAAGAAGGAUUUUCCAAUAAAGAUUAAUUUUGUAACUCAAAGGUUACGAUUGAAGGUCCAACGCGAGAUAAAGAGCAGAUACUCAUUCAAGGGAACAUAUGAGUUACGGUUAUUACCUAGGAUGAAAAUAUAAUGUAUGGAGUCAUUAUACAAGCCAUGUCUCAUUGAUGAUUCCGGGACGUAAUCAUCCUAAGGGGGAGAUAAUUGUCACGCCCGUAGAUUCGGGCUAGUUAAUUUAGAGAUAAUAAGCAUCAAAAAUGACUUUUUGAUGGAAAGUUAUUUAUAAUAAAUAAUCUUAACUAAGAUAUAGUAUAUGUCACAAGAGUUCCGUACAUAUAAAGAAUGGUUAUGACCCGUCGAUGUGUUACGGCAAAACUGACACGACACUGGGAAUUGUAAAAAGUGAUUUUGAGAUAAAAUAAUUUUUAGCCUUAUAAAACUAAAAUAAAGUCGUAGUGUACGUUAAACGUAGAACAUGCAUAAAAAUAACGUCCAAAUCUGACUUCGUAUGAGGAAAUUAUGAUUUUUCUAAGAUUUAGCCUAGCAGUGCACAACCUGGAAAUCGAAUUUUAGAUUGAUUGAUUGAUUUUUUUUUCAUACACAACCUAAAUGAGAAUUGAAGAUCUCAUUAAUAGGAGUUCAACGAUAAAAGACAGUCGAAAACGGAGUCCGUAUGUAGAAGUUGUGAAUUUACACGGUCGUUAAACAAUAUAAUCUUCUCAUACCGUUAAAUUUAAAAUCGGUCGAGAAUUAGCCAAUGGAGUCAAAAGGAGAGUUGUAGAUCUUGUCAGUACCUACAUGUGGAUAUAAAGAACAUAAAAAACGGACUUGUAUGUGAAAGUUAUAGAUUUUAUAAGAUAAUUAGUUUUUGGAGUAAUUUGCGAGUGACACGUGGCACAAUCCUGUCCAUUGCUUCCUCCCCAUGCCUUGCCACCAGAUGGUGACAUGUUGCACACCAACACGACAAGUUGGAGGCCUAGAACUCGUCGAUUUGAGCCAAUUUCCAGUCUAUUAAUAGCAUGUGAGGUUCUCCCAUUUUCAUCACACCUCAAACCUUCUCUCUCUUUCUGUUUCUCUAACUUCUCUCUAAACCCCUCCCAACCCUUAGUACUUCCCAAGUGCUACAAGGCAUGUAUUAGAGCUCCAAACGGAUCCGAGAAGAAGAUCUUUCGGCUCGGAAGUUCUGCCUCCGCAGAGGCCGGUUCCGAGCCAAACUUCCUCGUAAGUGAGUUAUGCUUACCCUACUUUCAGUAUAGCUUAUGUUUAAGUUCUAUNNNNNNNNNNNNNNNNNNNNNNNNNNNNAUAUAUAUAUAUAUAUAUAUAUAUAUAUAUACACAUACACACACAGACACACACACACACACAUAUAUAUAUUUAUGUAUCAUCAAAUAUAAUAUACAAAGUGUUAUUAUAAUAUCUUUUAACUACUCGUGGGAAGGGGAAUCUGGUUUGAAGGGUCGUAUAGGGUUGUUGGAUUUCAGAAGUGCUAUAGUGCCAAAAUGGUCCUGCCCUCCGGUGUUUCCUGUCUGGCCCUUGUCUGUACAUAGUGGUUGAAAAGUAUUCUUCAACACUUAUAAAACAAUAUCGCUUGUAAAUAGUUGCUAUAAAUAUUAGACUAAAAUCUAGUAAUAAUGAUACUCGGUUUCGUCGAAGGAAAAGACGAUUGUUAGAAGCGAUGACCUGUCCGAGUUUCGAGUCAUCACUUUAACAAGUGACUACAUAGUUACUUUCAUCUUACACAUAUGUAUGAAGUAUCUAAUAUAAAUUACGUGCUAUUUGUGCAUAUUAUCUAUGUUCUUGAUAUCUAUGCUGGAUGUACAAAAUAUACAUGUUUUAUUUGAUUAAACGACAUAUGUAUUUUAUACCUAUAAAAAUAUUGGGUAAAGAUGGGUAGAUGAACGAUGAGAGAUGAAAGAUGAUAUAGAUGAACAUUGGCAGUUAUAGACUUAGUGCCAAAAAGACAAACCCCGACAGCUAUGGACUUAGUGCCUUAUGAAUACACAUUGGCAGAUAUGGACUUAGUGCCUUACAAAUGAACGUUGGUAGAUAUGGAUUUAGUGCCCUAUAUAUGGAUAUUGACAGGUAUGGACUUAGUUCCUAACAAAUAACCUCUACUGCUACGAAGUUACUGCAUGAUAGAUAAAACCUGGAAGCUAUGGACUUAUUUCCUAAUAGAUAAAACUCUAACAGCUAUGGACUUAGUGCCAAAUAUAUAAAUCCUGGCAGCUAUGGACUUAGAGCCUUACAAAUGAAUGUUGGCAGCUAUGGAUUUAGUGCCCUGUAAUUGGAUAUUGGCAGUUAUGGACAUAGUGCCUAACAAAUAACCUCGAAAACUAUGGACUUAGUGAGUGCCUAUUAUAUAAACCUUGGCAGCGAUGGACUUCAUGCCUAUUCCUUAGGACAAUCCUUAGGAAUGAAUGAGUGAAUGAUAGAUGAUUCUUAGGGUAGAUCCUUAAGAAAUAAAGAAGAUAAUGGAGAUGGGUAAUUGGGUUAAUUAUUUGAUGAUGAAACAUAAUAACUUAAUAAAUGUGGGUUGAAAACCCUAUCUACUCACCAGAUCUCCUAACCCGACCCACACAGAUUAUUUGUAUCACAUGUGUCAAUACGAAGCUACAUUACAUUGAGAGAUUAAAGGAGAUGUAGAUCACUAGUGUAAAUGAAUGUAAGACAUGUUUAUGCUUAUGUUUCUUUAAAAUGAAUGCUCUGAUUUUCAAAUAAGCAUAAAUAAAAUUUUUAAAAUAAUCGUGAAUUUGGGGAUGUCACACAGAACCCGAGCCUAACCCCUCACCAGCACCAGAACCACUAACCGGUCUUCCUCGAAGAGUAACCAUACUGAAAAUAGACCAUACAAACCAUAAGAAUAUGCAUCAACAUAUAGAUAUUAAGGAGUCUCACAUUCUAUAAGCUUCUUGGUUUCAUUGCAACUCUCAUUGACUCGAGUAAGGAUCCUUUGCUUCCAGUAGUACGCGCCCAUACUACCUUCCACAUCUAUCCGUACUUUCCUCAAGGAUCACUUUGAAUCGUCCAAUUCACUCAUUGACCAUACAUACACUCCUAAACAAGAUAAGGCUCCCAUCAGUAAAUCUUUACCUUGGUUUUCCUUGGGAAAUCACCACAUUCCUCUCCUCCAUCAGCUGCAAAAGGAACUCCCCUUAACCUCCUCUAACUAGCACAACAGAUAAUUCUUUGAAAUAAAGGUCUCACACUACAACGGUUGGACUCAAACAUGAGUUGCUCAAUAAAGUUAAACCUAACCUUCUAAAAUUAUUUAGUCUCAACAAUAUGUAACUUAGUAUAUUCGCUUACUAGUUAGCUGAAGCUACUGGGAACUCCUAAAAAGCACAAAGCAAGCAACAUUCGAGCAUUAUUAACCGGAACAAGCCUAACCUAAACAGGUCAUCCUACCAUUGAAUGAUCAGUACUAGCAUGCAAGUCUACAAGCUUAUAUAAUAGGCAUAUAAGGGCAUCUGUCAUAGCAUUCUAUCAUGCAAAUCCUGGGCACAUCAUUAGCCCUAACUAGCAUGUGAUUCACAGAUUCAUAAAUCAAAGUAUAUAAUAUAACAUGUAUGGGUAUUUUGGGAAAACUUACUUGAGCUUGGUCGAUUCCAUGCACCAUACCCUUUUUCUUUUCUUAGAUAACCCUUUUCUUUUCUUAGAUAACCCUUUUUAUAAAACAUUUAUCUUUGAAAAAAAAAUCUACAAAACCCUCAGUUUGAGUUUAAGCACACCCGAAAGUAUGUCCGAAUCCCUUAAAACUAAGGUUCUAAUACCAACUUGUAACAUCCUAAAAAUUUAGACUAAAAAUUUUGAUUUUUAUAUUAAUUGAAACCAUCAUCCAAAAAACAUCAUAAAACCCAUGGUGAAUCAAAGUGUAUCGAUAACAUCCAAGUAAAUAAGAGUAAUAUAAAAAUGUGAAACGAUGUGGUGUGUGCACUACAAUUAUCUUGGGCUAUUCCCCUUAGAACAAGAAGUACUUGAGACAGAAACUUAAAGCUGUAAGCACAAAGCUUAAUGAGUUCCCGAAGAUACCACAUACCAUACAUAUCAAACAUAUAAUGGGUCCCGCUCGGUAAACAGAUCUGUCAGCCAUCAGGCCCCACCUAGCAUUGGGCCAUGCCCGAUAUACAUAUAAACAUAUAAACAUAUAGUCGUACCACACAUGCAAUAAUCACAAAGAUAAAAACAUAGAGGAUAAUCAUUAGGCCCCACCCGGUAAACAUAUAAUGCAUAUCACAUGCAAGAGUCACGUAGACAACUAGCAUCCUAAACAUAACAAACCAUGGGCUGAAAUUGGUGCCUUUGACCUACUAAACACAAUUAGGAAACUCACCUCUAGCUGCUGGAUCUCUGAAGUAAAUCUCGGUUUGUUGGUCUUGAAAAAUCCCUGGGCUAACAUCAUUAAAUAAUAUCCAAUUAAUAAUUGGACCUCGGCCCAUAUUCAAGAAUCUAAGCUACUUGACUAAUUUCCAGGGUAAAAGAGCAUUUUACCAUUUUUGUUUUUUGGCCCAACACCAUGGCCCAACCUAACUACUCCAAAGGCCAAAAUUCCUUAAAUAGCAUCACAAGGCCCAACAGGGCCCAGCAUCCAAAUUGGGCCUAAAAAUCAUUAUGGACCUAAUCUAAGAAAGUCCAUAGUCUAUCCAUGGCCCAAAUUUAGAAGUCCAAUGGCCCAACAAGGCCCAAAUCCUAAAAGCCCAAAAUAUGGCUCAAAACCAAGGAAGUGAAACCAAAAUGAGUACGCAGGGCUUUCUCAGCUCGUACGCCUAUCGUACUCCUUCUGGGGCUAGUACGCGCAAAUUACCAGCUAGGUAUGCCCAACGUACUCCCCAUAUCACCAAUCCACUCCAUUAAGAACUUAAUCAGUUGAGACUUGUAGCCAAACUCUGUGAUUUGAUCUUAAAGGUGACUUACUACGUAAUAUUGGCAACUUUACAUUUAUGCAUGACUUAAUGGGACCGAACACUAAAAAAGAAGCUUAAUAAGGCUCUUAACACUUGCAUGGACUAAUAUCUUUCAUAAAGUUUGCAUUUUUAUGAACAAGGGACCUCCAUGGAGCUAUGAUGUAACAUCAAUGGCUUCUAGAGUAGAUCAAAAGCUUAACUUUAGCUCAAAAGACCCAAGUAAAGAACUUUAUACCUCAAAUGGCCUGCAAAGAUGAUGAUAAAUCUGGAUCUACAAGACCAAGCUAAUUCCAAGCAACCAGCAAGGGUUCUUCUUCUACUUCUUUCACUAAAACACCACAAAAUCUCACUUUCAAGAUCAAAAAUCACAAGAGGCACUUAGGGUUUUGUUUUUAGGGUAUAGGGUGAUGGAGGCUGAUUAAUAGAAUGCUCAAAGGUGGUUUAAGUUGUUUAAAUAGGGUGAAAACCCUAAAAAUUAGGGUUUGUCCAAUCCUUGUGUACACCCAACGUACUCCCACGUAUGCCCAACAUAUGUGGGUGAAUCUGCGAUAAUUCGUAGAGCUAGUACGAUAAGCGUACUCAUAGAGUGCGCCCAACGUACUAGCUAGGGACCGACAUGAAAUGAAUUAAACAUUAAGGGGCAAAAGGAAACAUACCAAAUGCGGGAGAAUAUUGAGUCAUGUUCUGUUGUGAUAUAUCGAAUAGGUACUUAUCUUGAUGUUGAAUAGUUUGUAAAUAGCGAGUGUCCACAUGACUUCAUUAUGUAAUGUAUUUACUUGGCACCUUGUCGAUUCGCAAUGUAAUGUCAAGUCCUAGUAUUUUUUGUUUCUAUGAGUACCCUAGAAAUAGGGUAGGUACAUUAGAGAGUUGUAACAUCUUUUGCACACUUGUACGCUUUGAGCUUUCUCUCGUAAGCGAUUCUUUUGUACUCAUUCCAGAAUAUAAUUGAGCUGAAACCAGAUCAUUUUUAGAUAAUUGUGUUAAUUUUACUCUUAUUUUACCAUCGAUUGAUUAGAACGUAAUUCAAAAGGAACCAUGAAACCAUUAUAUUUUCAAGCAUUAGAGCUUAUUCUUUAUCGAAAAAAAUCUAAAAGUAUCUAAAUUCGUAACUUUUUUUUCUUUUGUCUAUUGAUAUUAAAUUUGAUAUAUAUAUAUAUAUAUAUAUAUAUAUAUAUAUAUAUANNNNNNNNNNNNNNNNNNNNNNNNNNNNNNNNNNNNNNNNNNNNNNNNNNNNNNNNNNNNNNNNNNNNNNNNNNNNNNNNNNNNNNNNNNNNNNNNNNNNNNNNNNNNNNNNNNNNNNNNNNNNNNNNNNNNNNNNNNNNNNNNNNNNNNNNNNNNNNNNNNNNNNNNNNNNNNNNNNNNNNNNNNNNNNNNNNNNNNNNNNNNNNNNNNNNNNNNNNNNNNNNNNNNNNNNNNNNNNNNNNNNNNNNNNNNNNNNNNNNNNNNNNNNNNNNNNNNNNNNNNNNNNNNNNNNNNNNNNNNNNNNNNNNNNNNNNNNNNNNNNNNNNNNNNNNNNNNNNNNNNNNNNNNNNNNNNNNNNNNNNNNNNNNNNNNNNNNNNNNNNNNNNNNNNNNNNNNNNNNNNNNNNNNNNNNNNNNNNNNNNNNNNNNNNNNNNNNNNNNNNNNNNNNAUAUAUUAACAAUCUUUUGCGAACCUAUAUUUUCCAGCCAACCACUUUCAAAUUGUGAACUCUUUUGUAUUAUAUUUUUUUCCCACAAAAUUGACAUAAAGUACCAAAUCGGUCCUAUAGAAGCUUAUUCGCAAAAAAAAAUCAUAAAAGAAAAUAUGGAUAUAAGACAAGUGCCUUUGUGCAUGUUUUACGAACAUUAUGAAUUUCUAAUGUUUAUGCACAUAUGCACCUCUGGUAUAUGUAUAUUUUUUUGCAAGAUUUCUUUUUUCAAAUAAGUUUUUAUAGGAAGGAUUUGGUGUUUUACUUUUUUGAAAAAAAAAAAUAUGACACAAAAAAGUUCGGAUUUUAAGAGUGGUUCGGAGGAAAAUGUGGGUUCACAAAAGAUUCUUAGUAUAUAUCAAGAUUGCAGAAAUCGGGAUUAAUUGUAGAUUAAUCGUUUGACGUUUUCCAACCGUCUAGGAUUAGACGGUCUUGACGGUCUUGGCGGUCAACGAUGGUCAACAGAAAUCAAAAUAAGUCAAAGGUCAAAGGUGGUCAAAAUUAGAAAAAAGCUACAAAAAUUUUCCAAAAAAUUGAAACCUAAUUAAAAAAAGGCUCCGAUUUUUUUUUUUCCAAAAAACGAACCUUAAUAUCGCAUUUGGUAGUCGCCGUUUCGGUGUUAUGUGUCUUCUCUCUCAAACGUUGAAGCACCCCAUGAAGGUUACACCGGCGAUACAACUGAAGCCGAUACGACGAACCUUCUCAUUAGUGAUUUCACCCAAAAAAAUGUUGAGUUGGUAUUUCUCUCAUCUGUUUUUUGAGUUUUUCCACACAAAAGCAUAUGUUUUCGUGUUGUAGUAUGGGUUUGUGAUAGGAUUCAAAGAUCGAGUUAAAAAAUUGAAGGAGAUGGUGCUCAAAGAUUAUGUCGGUGAUGAAUGUUUGGUUGUAGCUUGGUAACAAAGCUCUGCCAUGAUCCCGAUAUUAAAGGUAAUCAAAUUCCUUUCUUCUUUUAUACAAGAUCUUUCCCUUUUUUAUUAUAGUUUUCUCAUUUUAACAUAAAAGUUCAAUACAAACGUCUACUUCGCUACUAUCUCACAAAAUCUUGAAUUUCAAAUCGUCAUAAAAUAUUUACUUGGGGAAAAGGAAACUGAUUUUGUUAAUGAUGUUGAUGCAAUCAAUACAUGGGGAAGCUUUUGAAUAAAAAUAAAUCUAAAAUAGUUUUAGUACUUGAUGAUGUAUGGGACGAUUCCAUUAUUAAAGGCUUCAAGUUCAAUCUACCUAGAUACAAGAUUCUGGCUAUGGCUACAUCUAGGACCUCCUUUACACAAUUUAGUACAUAUCAAUUGCAACUUCUGAACGACCAUGAUGCCGCCAAGCUGUUUAGUUAUGCUGCAGUUUCAAAAAAAAAGAAAUGAAGAUAUAACAGAUGAUCUUUUUGACAAGGUACACCGAACCCCUUUUAAGUAAAACUGAACUUUAAUUACAUGAUGCAUGCUCCUUUUCUGAUUGACUAUAAAUCGGAUUGACCCAGAAAUUCUUGCUAACCAAUAUAAUUUGUAUGUAGUUGCUCAUGUCACUGAGUUAUUGCGAGAAACAUCCGGUAACCCUUAGUGUGAUUAGUGGUUUGCUAAAGGGGAAAACAAGGUUUCAGGUCCAUAGCAAUCUGUUUUGGAUUUGCAUUAGUCUAUAGCAAGGUUUUGAAUCAAAGAACGAGGAACAAGUGUUUGAAACAAUGAAUAUGAGUCGGGAGUUCACAUAUUGGAAGAACUUGAAGAUUAGAAAGAAUAUGGACAUUUACAUAUAUGAAAAUGUGUGUUAUAAUUAUUAUUGAACUUAUUUUGGGUUUAUAGUAUGAUGGAUCAUGACUUAAAUGUUUAAUUACUAGUUAUGACAUUUUUUNNNNNNNNNNNNNNNNNNNNNNNNNNNNNNNNNNNNNNNNNNNNNNNNNNNNNNNNNNNNNNNNNNNNNNNNNNNNNNNNNNNNNNNNNNNNNNNNNNNNNNNNNNNNNNNNNNNNNNNNNNNNNNNNNNNNNNNNNNNNNNNNNNNNNNNNNNNNNNNNNNNNNNNNNNNNNNNNNNNNNNNNNNNNNNNNNNNNNNNNNNNNNNNNNNNNNNNNNNNNNNNNNNNNNNNNNNNNNNNNNNNNNNNNNNNNNNNNNNNNNNNNNNNNNNNNNNNNNNNNNNNNNNNNNNNNNNNNNNNNNNNNNNNNNNNNNNNNNNNNNNNNNNNNNNNNNNNNNNNNNNNNNNNNNNNNNNNNNNNNNNNNNNNNNNNNNNNNNNNNNNNNNNNNNNNNNNNNNNNNNNNNNNNNNNNNNNNNNNNNNNNNNNNNNNNNNNNNNNNNNNNNNNNNNNNNNNNNNNNNNNNNNNNNNNNNNNNNNNNNNNNNNNNNNNNNNNNNNNNNNNNNNNNNNNNNNNNNNNNNNNNNNNNNNNNNNNNNNNNNNNNNNNNNNNNNNNNNNNNNUUCGUGAUCAAUCCCUGUUGAGACCGAUUAAUCUCUUAACCUCAGUCGACCGUCGAACGAUUUCUGCAACCUUACUAUAUAUAGGGAUAGGUUAAUGUGAGACCACUAUAUUUUGUGAGACGGGGAGACGUAAUCAUUGCCACUUAUUUUAUAGAUAAAAAUACAUUUUUAAAAUGCAAAAUAAUUGAAAAUUUCGAAUUUUUUUAAAUAUUAUUUUCGUCAUUUAUAUUUACCAAAAUAAAAAUAAAAAAAUUAUCGUUUUUUUGAAAUAUCUAUGAAAUAUUCUAGUAUAAUAUUAGAAUAUUUUAUAUAUCUGUCGAAUCUAAUAAAAUGCUAGAAUAUUUCUAAUAUUCUAAAAAUCAAAUUACAUUAUUUACAAUGUAUUAUUCUAUUAGAAUAUUUCACAUAUUUAAAAAACCAUAAUUUUUAUUUAUUUAUUUAUUAUUUUUUUAGGUAAAUAAAAUGACGAAAAUAAUAAUAAUUAUUUUUUUUUUUGGAUUUUUCCUAGUAUUUUUCAUUUUAAAUUUAUUUUUAGAUUNNNNNNNNNNNNNNNNNNNNNNNNNNNNNNNNNNNNNNNNNNNNNNNNNNNNNNNNNNNNNNNNNNNNNNNNNNNUUUAUAUAUAUAUAUAUAUAUAAGGGAUAAGAUUUUUUUUGAAAAAUUAAAUUUUUUUUUAAGAAAUUGACUGUUGCCUCUUACUUGCUUUCUGCUGGGCAUUGUCAAUGUGGUCAUGACCACAAUUUAUCACGACCAUGACCACCACAACGCGCCGAGAUGGUGUGGACGAUCAUGGUGACCUUCGACGUUGGCAACAUAGUCCCUUCCCAUAAUGUGUAUUUCGUAGAGCUAUAGCAACUUAUUUGAUCCAAAUGAAUAUUCAAGUUUUUAAGUGAUGAUAUGAAAUUAGAGUAGGGUUGAAUUUCUAUUUAUUGUUAUGGGUUUAUAAAACUAUUAUGAUUUGAAUAUUUCUUUUAGACAAUAUUUUGUUAUGAUUUGAUAUGUAUUAGUUUGAACGAUAUGUAUUAGCUUGAAGCAUAUUAAAUUUGGUUUAAAUAACUGUUACAGAAGAUUUUUAAUAAUGUGGUUAUUAUUAUUUGUUGAUGUGGGUAUCAAACCGCGCCAACAAAUAUCGCAUCAUAAAAUAACAUUAUAUGUUGAUGUGGUUCAACAACUGCAUUAGAAAACGUUUCAAACCGUCUGAUAAAAUAUCCGGGUGAAAUAUACAAGUUGCAUAAAAAAUUAAGAACCACUCUAUUAAACAAUAUCACAAAAAAUAUAAAAGAAUCCUAUUAAAAUAUAGCACCAAAAAAUAGCACACAUCGCACCAAAAAGUGAAAAACACAAUGUUAAACAAUAGCACCAAAAAAUAGAACCUACACUGUUAAAAAUAACAAAUCAUUAAACAAAUUACCACUAAAACAAAUACUAAAAAUAGAACCUACACUGUUAAAAAUAACAAAUCAUUAAACAAAUUACCACUAAAACAAAUACUGUUCUGUUAAAUAAAAACCUCACAAGUACACAAAAAAACCAUAAUUUCUAAUUUACUGUUUAGUUACACUAAAACACAAAAGAAGCUCCAUCAUCAAUUAAAAUAAGAAUUUAAUACUGCAAAAGAUCCUUAUUCUUAGAGAGUUAUUUUUUGACCAUCAUUCAUCAUGUCAAUUAAAUGCGGUAUUAUUUCUAAGACCAUAUCUUCAAGUUCAUCAACCAAAGCAAACUUUUUCUUGUUCCAAAACUGCAAACAAACAAAUUAUACAUGUGUAUACAACUAAAUAGAAAAUUUGAUAUUUUAAAUAUAUGCAAAAACAGUUAUUGUAUUGUGUAAAUCAUGUUGAAUGGUCUUAAUAAACUGUUGCAUAUGUUUAAUUACUAUAUAUCCACAUUCCCAACCAACUUUUUGUUCGUAGCACUGUAUUUAAUUCACGAUUAAAUAUUUCAAACCACUUGAAAUAAAUUGAUAAAAAAAUAAUAGAAAACAUAUAUUUAUCGUUUCCCACUUAUUAAAUUGUCUUGGGAAACCUUUAUCAGUUCAAGAAGCAAAUAGGCAUUUGUUCUUUUUUUACCAAUUAAAGAAUCUCUAAUAUAAGCUGGUUUGCUACUUAGACAUAAGAUAAAAGCACCCAAUGCUUAAUACAUAAAUACAAAUUACAGAACAAGUAAGCAUGUAUGUGUAGUGUUUAUAUUUAUGGGUAUGUACUAUGGAAAAUAAUUACCAUUGUAAAUAUGGAGCAAGAAAAUAUUCUUUGCCUUCAUGAUACGAAAAUACUUCUUCGAUAUGUCCGUCGUUAGUUCAUGUAAGUCUUCAAGACUGUUAUGUGAUGCUCUUGACCCAUUUUGGAUCUUGGCAAGUCUUCAAGACCGUUACAUGAUGCUCUAGACCCAUCUUGGAUCUCUACAGGUGUCCAACAUCACUACUUGACGCUCUUAGCUAUAUAGAUAUUUGAAUCUAUGCAUAUUUUGGUCCCUUUUACGAAUUUGAGUUGGAGUAAGGAAAGUUUCGGGUAUAUAAGGUGGAUCUUUGGCUCUUCUUUACCUAUUGUGGUACAAAGAACUAGAAUUCAUCAUCAAUAUUCCGUAUACAUUGGUAACACUAUGUUUUUACAUCUUACCAAUUGACAGUAACUUAGGUGUAACUGUAAGGAUUCCAUUAUCAUCUAUUUCGAAUAAAUCAUCUACUACGAUGCUCCCUCAGAAGGGGUGGUAUUCCAUAAACUGCAAACAUUACCAACAAAAUGUUAUUAGUGAAUUUAGAUUGUACACCUUGGCACAUAGUGUUAUACUUCGAAGAUUAGUUCUUUUUGUUGUAACAAACUCCAUCGUUACUUGAUGUAAGUCUUCAAGAUGGUUACGUGAUGCUCUUGACCCAUUUUGGAUCUCUACAAGCCUUCAUGACCGUUACGUGAUGUUCUGAACCCAUUUUGGAUCUCUGUAAGUAUGCAAGAUUGUUACUUGAUGCUCUAAGCUUUGUACAUAUUGGAAUUUAUGCAUGUUUGGUACCUUUCAUAUAUUUGACUUGGAGUUUGGAAAGCUCCGAGUAUAUAAGGUGAAUCUCUGGCUCUUCUUGACCCAUUGUGGUACAAAGAACUAGACUUCAUCAUCAAUCUUUCAUAUAUUCAUAACACUAUGUUUUUCUAACUUACCGAUGGAUAGUCACUUAGGUGUAACUAUGAGGAACCAUUAUAAUAUAUUUAGAAUCAAUCAUCUACUAUGACACUCCCUCGGGAGUAUGCGAUAUUACAUAACUUGCAAAUAUAUCUAACAAAAUGUUAUUAGUGAAUUUAGAUUGUUCACCUUGGUACACGAUGAUAUACCUAGAAGAUUGUUUUUUUUUUUUUUUUUUUGUUGAAAAAUCUUCAUUGUUACUUGAUGUAAGUCUUCAAGACUGUUACUUGAUGCUCUUAACCCAUUUUAGAUCUCUGCAAGUCUUCAAGACCAUUACUUGAUGAUCUACACCCAUUUUGGAUCUCUAUAAGUGUCCAAGAUUGUUACUUGACGCUCUUAGCUUUGUAGAUACUGGAACCUAUGCAUGUUUUAGUUCAUUUUAUGGAUUUUAGUUGAAGUUUGGAAAGCUCUGGGUAUAUAAGUUGGAUCUCUUGCUCUUCUUGACACAUUGUGGUACUAAGAACUAGACUUCAUCGUCAAAAUUCCGUAUAUAUUGGUAACAUUAUGUUUUUCUUUUUUACCAUUUGAUAGUAACGUAGGUGUAACUAUGAGGAUCCCAUUAUCAUCCAUUUUGAAUCAAUCCUCUACUACAACACUCCCACGAGAACAAAUAGUAUUCCGUAAAUUGCAAACAUUCCCAAACAAAUGUUAUUAAUGAAUUUAGAUCAUUUACCUUGGUACACGAUGAUAUACCUGGAAGAUUGGUUCUUUUUUGUCGUAAUAUAUCAAUCAUUACUAGAUGUAAGUCUUCAAGACUGUUACGUGAUGCUCUGGACCCAUUUUAGAUCUCUGCAAGUCUUCAAGAAUAUUACUUGAUGUAAGUCUUCAAAGAACUAGACUUAGCUUUGAUGAUUUUUUCACCAUAGACAAUACAUUAACUAUAACUGUAAAAAUUAAAAAAAAAUUGUUAUUUGAUCUUGUUUAAAUUAGAAAAUUAAAAUACUAAAAAAAGAAAAAAAAAUACAAAACUAUUCUCUUUAAUAUAGAACUCUAUCAAAAACUCAAUCGGUGUGAUCCAUUAACGAAUAACCUUAUCCGUAGAUAAAUAUUAAAAUUGAAUGGUUGAUAAUUAGUAUCCUAUAAAUUUUUUAAUGCAUUUUUUUAUUUGAUGAUGAGAUUUCAUGGGGACUAUUUAUAGAUGCAUUUUUCCUUUUUUUUGGUGCAAUUUCUUUUUCUAUUUUUUGAUGCAUUUUUUAUUUGGUGUGUUUUUUGUUGUGUUUUUAAUGCGUUUUCUAAUUUUCGAGGUGGUUUCUAUUAUCUUGAAAAAUUGACUUUUUUUGGUUAAGAGAAACUUCAUCGUCGUUUUUUAGGUUUAAGAGUGUUUUUUGUAUCAAAAGAGUCAUUUUUUCACCCUUUGUCUCAAUACCAAAUGACAAUGAGAUGAUAUUAAUUAGCAACAAUUCUUUUACCAUUUUCAUAGUUGUACUACAUAACUUUGUGACCAUAACUUCAACCCAUAUGGGUGUGAGCAAUGGCGGAGCCACGUUGGGGCCAGAGGGAGCCCAGGCCCACCCUCAGAUUAUUAAUUUUUUUUUUUGUUUUUUUUACUAGCCCAAAUAGCCAGGCCCACUCUCGUCGCUUUCAUUAGUCUGAACCCCAAAUCUCAUUAGAUCAAAUUAGCGGGAAAUUAGAUAGAGAAAAAGUGUGAUCAAGCAAGUAAGACAACCAGACAUCGUCUUCUAAAUUUCUAAUUCUCUUAAUUGAAGUUUGCGAUCGAGCAAGCAAGCAAAGCAGCAGGUUAUUGACUUAUUGUAUGUAAAUAUUUUAUAUUUUCAAAGAAUUUAGGGGUAUACUUUUGUUGUAUAUGUCGACAGCAAAGCAAUUGGGAUACCGUUAAUUUGUUUAUUUAGAAUUGGAGUAGAUACGAUUCCUAUGAUCCUAUUAUUUAUUGUAUAAAUUAUGUUAUUUAGAUUAUGGGAAAAGAUAUAGCAACCGAUCCCCACCAUUUGUUUAUUUAAUUCCUUUUGUUGCACACUUUCAUACAGUACACUUGCCCAUGCUGUGAAAAGAGAAAGUCACAACUCACAGUGUGAAUAUACUUAUCUUUUAAUAAGUUAUUAGGAACACCCUAAAAAAAUUUCUUGGCUUCGCCCUUGGGUGUGGGCAACAAGAUGCAACAUCAAGUUGUGACAUCUCACAUGCCACAUAAGCAAAUAGUGUUAUAACACCAAGUGGGGAAAUGAGCAACAAGAUGUAACACCAAAUUUUUGAGAAUAAAUAUGUUUUAUUUAUUUAUUUAUUUUUUGUUUUGACUGUUGACAACGGCUAAAAAGAGGGCAACGUUCGUAUUUUUACUCGUUGUUGUAGGUUGUAACGGCAACAAGAAGCUCCAUGACAAGAUGCAACUUAAUGCCAGGGUGGUGUACAACAAGAUGCAAGGCCGUUGUGGGCGUCCACCUCAGCCACAACGAGCAAAUCUUGUACCCACACCGUAUGCUCUAAUGCAUAGUUAUGUGGUGCAACUAUAAAAAUAGCAAAGGAGUUGGUGCUAUUUGUUGUCAUCUCAUUCCCACUUGGUGUUGACACAUACGGUGAAAUAAUGAAAAUUGUUUCCAAAAAGAACUCUUAAAACUACCAAGAAGACGAUGGAGUUUGUUCAAACCAAAAACAAACAAUCUUUCAUUGAUAUCAUCGAGGAGAACAACGAGUCCGUUGAAAUAAAUUGAUAAACAUUUGAUAGUGCGAUUAUUUGAUCUUUUGGUGCGUUUGUUUAUUUUGAUCUUUUUGUGCUAUUUCUGAAAAUUUUAAUGUGAUUUAUCAUUUGAUGUGGUUAUAGUUAUUUUUUUAAUGCUGUUCGAUUUAAUUUUUUUUAGGGAGGUGUCUUGAUUUGUUGGUGUUGUUUGCUACGUUAGAAGUACGCUACCUUUUUUAAAUAUGCAUUGUCUUUUUUGUUAACACAAGAAGUAAAAUUCUUUACUAAUAUGUUAUUCAAUGCACACCACAAGUAAAAGUUUUUACUGAUACAUUUAAUGUUAUUUAAUGUUUCACUUAAAACAGAUAUUCUAAUUUUAUUAGAUUAUUACUCUAUCAACGGAUAGUAUUAUAGAAACAUUGUAAUUAUCAAAACAAAAGGACAAUAUUGUUAGUAAUCUAUCAAUGGAUAGUAUUUCAUAUAAGAAUCAUGUAACCAUAGUAAUAGAAAUGCAAAAGAAAUCAUUCAUACACUUAAUCAACAUAUGUCCAUUCGAUGUUAGAUCGUACGAAUGUUGUCCGUUCAAUAUUAUCAUAAUUACCCGGUUCAAUAACGCACGAAAAUUGUGGUAGAUACUUAAUAUGGUCGUAUUCUUCCUUGUCAACGACAUUAUCAACACCAAGAAUAUGUUGUUUACCUUGCAAGAUGUUGUGCUCUUUUUGUUUCCUCGGGUUUUUGAUAAAGAAAACUUGUGUGACAUGUUUUACGAGAAUGAAUGGUUCAGAUGCAUAACCAUUAGUUGUAAGGCCGACAAGUGUAAAAUCAUCUUUGUCAACUAGAACACAUGUAUGGUUAUUCACUACAUUUGAACACAAGAAUAACGAAGUCAUAAUAGUUCAAAUCCCAAUUUUUUUGUAUAACACCGUAAGAAGAAUCUUUGGCUAUUCUUAUCAAAGUAUAAUGAUCUCGUCUGUCGAGUUCGGUAGUUGAUGCUAUCAUUAGAACUCCACUAUUCUGCAUUGUAUUUUUUUAAUCUUGAUCUUUGGUGUAAAACGUAUAAUCGUUAAUGUUGUACCCUUGAUAAGAUUUAACUCUACAAUCUAGCCCAUGUCCCAACAUUUUCACAUUUUCGUCAACAUCAUUUUCUGCUACCUUCUUGUUCAGCCAUCUCGAAAACUCUUCGUUAUGAUUGUUUAUGCACCACAUGUGUUCCUUACCAGGGUAUUUCGACUUUAACAUGUCAAUGUAUUCAUCAACAUAUUGAGUAAGACAUUUAAGGUGUUUUAGGACCACUAAAUUUGCAACUUGUAACUCUUCAUGAGUUGGAAUGGUUAUUUUCAAAUCGACUCCUCCCUUACCUUCAAGUCGACCCGAAUGAUGAGUUAUAGGAACACCAACACUUUUGAAAUCUUUCAUAUAGAGUAUAAAAAACAAAUUAUUAUAUUACAUGUAAUAUAUUGUAAAUUAUUAUAAGUAUAAUAUACUAUUAGUAGGAUUACCUUGGCAGAACUCAAUCACCUUUUUAGAAGUAUACCCUUCAACAAUACUCCCCUCAGACCCAUUAUGGUUUCUAACAUAACCUUUGAGGAUACCCAUAUACCUUUUAAAAAGCUAUAUGUAGUGUAGGAUUACAAGACCACAAACCUUAAUCUCUUGCAUGAUAUGAGAUAUUAGGUGAACCAUUAUAUCAACAAAUGAGGGUGGAAAAUGCAUCUCUAGUUCACAAGGUGUAACAUAAACGUCUUUCUCCCAUUGAUCCAAAUAUUCUACAUCAAUAUCCUUUGAGUGAAUGUUGUUAAAAAACAAACAAUGAUUUGUGAUAGAAUGUCAGAUAUCAUCUUGUAAAAUUCCACGAAUUGCACACGAAGCAAUUUAUAGUCUUUCAUCGACAAAAAUCUUUUAAUGUUUGCAGAAUAAGUUGAAAGAUCCUUAAUAUCAUGUAAACAUUGACAAAACUUUAUUUUUUUUCUUCUUUUGAUGUAGUAUAACAAGCAAGUGAGAGAUAAAUACAGUUGGCUAUCUAUUCGAUGGCAAGAUCUUCACGUAUCUUGUAAUAUCCUGAUGAUGAAGUAUUUCUAAUUUUAACGCUAAGUAUGAAGAUUACUUGUAUUUUAGCCGUUGUGUAUGAGAAGUGUUGCAAAAUGGCCCACAAUGGCAUUUUUGUAAAUAAUGGGCGGAGCCCACAAACGUUGGGCGUACACGCUAGAACAUCAAACCUUAAUUUUUAGGGUUUAUACCAUAUUUAAACAUCCUUAAGUCCUAAGUCUCGUCCCUUCCAUCAUCCUCGAACCUCAUUUCGACCCUUUUUGCAAACCCUAAUCCAUUUGAGAGCAUUUGUGAUCCUUUUUAGUGUAUUUUGGCGACCUUGAAGGAGGAAGGAAGAAUAGAAGACCAUCUUAUAGAAGUGGGACACUUUGGAUCCAGAAUCACAUCAUCAUUUGGAGGUAAAAAGCUAUGGACUUGGUUAAAUGUUGAUUAGAUCUUGUUUAGUCAUGAAAUGGUAUUCUUUUAGUUCCAUAAGCUUGGUAUUAUGAGUAUGGAUUACUCUAAUGCAUAUAAGCUAUCCUUUCAAACGUUUUGGAGCAUUUAGAACCAUUAAAAUGCAAUGUUGAUUGUUAAUUUCCUUCCAUGCAUGGCUUACAAGGUCUUAAUGGGUUAAGUAGUUAGGGUUUUUGUUAUUGGGUACUUUCUAGCCAUGCUAUACCAUAAAGUUAGAAACUUUAUGGUUAAGGAUAUGAGUUGAAGUCUGGAUCUCGAAUAUGAGUAAAAGAGAUUAUAGAUUGUUGAAGCAAGAAGCGACCCUCUUGAACCUCCAUCCGAAGUCUCCACUCUACCGCAAUGUUGCUGCCUCUACCGUAACUAGAAGUAAAGAUAUCAUCCGCAACCUACUUUCAGAAUAAAGACUUAGCAUUUUUAACUUAUAUACUUACUUUGUAUUGUCCAGUGUUCCUUGCAUGGACACUUCUUUGUCUUUGUUUAUUUCACUGUAAUGUAUGUGGAGCUCUACAACUAGAGCCUCCCGCUUCAGUUUGCAAUACACAUCUAUCACUCAUCUUAUCUUGUCUAUCAUUACUCUUUUACUAUUAAAAUCUUGCUGAACUUAAAUAUCUUAUCUAAAGAUCAUAAUCUCUCCUCGGAGCAAGUCACUCUUGACAUAAUCACAUUAAGUUGAUCACACUUAUUAACUUGGUUUGAUUGCAAUCCUUGUUACGAAUCAGUUUAAGUGUUUACUUGAUAUAAUACUUGUUGUCAUUUAUAUAUCCUUAUAUUUCCACAUCUAAUUAUCUAGCUCUCUAACUCUAACUUAUUAUUAUUGUUGAGAUUUAUGAUCCUUUGAGUUAAACUUAUUCCACAAUAUAACUUGUUCUAACGUUUGUUCAAGUGUGUUUCUCAAGUUUUUCUCUCAACAAUUAGUAUCAGAGCCAAAGUGGUUGCUUUUUGAAGAAGAACUCUGAUUUUAAAAGACCUUCUAUACCACUGAAGCUCAUUUCUCUUUUAAAUAAAAAAAAAAACUACAAAAUCUUUUCAAAACAAGGAAAUAUGGCACAAGCAUUAUGACUCAAUGUUUCCAACAGUGUUGGAGGUUCGAAUAGAGCUCCAAUAUUGGUGGUAAAUGAGUAUCAUCACCGGUCCCAAAUAAUGGAGAGAUAUUUAAGAAGACUUGGACGAGAUGUAUGGAGAUCUGUAGAAGAAGGACCUCAUGUCCCUAUUCUUACUCUAGUUCAAAUUGACGGUGCACAAGCCAGACUUGGUCAAGGCCAACCUGCAUUGAAUCAUCCCAGUAAGGAUGAUCUCGAUAAAAUGGAAAAUGAUGCAAUCGCCUUUUAUGAAAUAUCCUGCGGAGUUGCUCCUGACAACUUCGACAUUAUCAUCAAUUGCAAGUCUGCAAAAGAGAUCUGGGGUGUUCUCAAGAACCUGUAUGAAGGUUCUGAGCAGGUACAUGAUAAGAAGCACACCACCACACUCAACGAGUUCAAUAAUUUCAAAGCUCAUGCGGGUGAAAGUCUUGAGGACUCUUUCAAGAGACUCAACCUCAUUGUUACCAAGUUGUCAAACGCUGACACUAUUCGCAGCAAACAUGAAACCACUCUUCAAUUUCUCAAUGGUUUAGGUAAACAUUGGACUACAACAAAG